RNAcentral lists this long non-coding RNA (80546 nucleotides) under Hordeum vulgare. RNAcentral's name for it is "long non-coding RNA (HVUL_LNC006319)". Lineage: Eukaryota; Viridiplantae; Streptophyta; Magnoliopsida; Poales; Poaceae. The record is from RNAcentral.
AAUGGAAGUAGUAGGAAAUAAACAUUAGCAACAAACAUGUGCUCAUUAAGUCCAGAAAGAAGAACAUGCAAGCUUGUUCAGACAUAUUUACAUACCAUUGUAAAACCUGUAAUGUGCUCACCCCACAUAAAUGUAAAUGGCAUUGCCAGUCCACAUAUUCGCCAAAUGUUUUAUGGUGUGGCUACAUAUACAUUGUUUGUUAUUACUACUCUUUAACCUAGGAAUCGAUGUGUAGUUAAGCUACUCAUGUGGAAGUCAGAAGUGCAGCUCUGGAAGGAUUUCGAAGGGGGAAAUGUUCAAAUUGUUUUUUGAGUCGGGCUAAACACAGCUCAUCUGGUAAUGUUUAUGAAGUACAAGACCUCAAAUCUGAAGUUAUUAUCUUACUAUGCAAAUUGACGGCAAAAUUAUUUGUUCAAUGAAUAGCUCAUUUGACCUAUCAAUUAUUACAGGACUAUAUUUUUUGUUCUCACAAAUUUCAUUUCAAUGCACAUAACAAAUGGAAGCAGAUUACAAUAACAUCCAUUGGAAUGAUAAUAUGCUAAUACCAUGUCUACUGCAUUGUUUUCUAAAAAAAAUAUGCAUGUAGACAGCACAAGUUCCCAAUUUCAGCCAGUGGGUUUAGCACAUGAAAAGCAACACUAUCGUACUCUACGGUAUGCACAUGAAAAGCAACACUAAAACCAAGUGUAACUUGUUAACACUGCUAUCUUAGGACACACCUUACAACAGAGAACUUUCCUAGUUUUGCAAAAGAUAUUUUUAGCAAAAACUCUCUUGCCUGCAUCAAAUACAAUUUUCAUGAAGAGGGACCUGCCUUGUUCAAUCUUUUAUGAUGUUACUGUAAUACAUGUCAAUAAAAGAAACAUAAAAGGCUCAAGAGACAUAAAUUAUGUACUAAUACUCUACCAGUUUAAUUACCUUAACUCAUUAUCCACACAUGUGCACUAAACAUACUCCAUCCCAAAAGAAGUGACGUGGUUUUAGUUCAAAUUUGAACUAAAACCACGCAACUUCUUUUGGGUCAGACGGGGUACAUGUACUCUUGUCAAUAUUAUUAUCAACCAUGCCCAAAUAAAACACUACGUGAAAUUUGAAAUUCAUAGCGGUAACAAAAACGUGAAAACACUAGUUGCUGCACAUGAUGAAACUACUACAAAGAGGCACUUUGGAAACCUGAAAAAUACAUGAAAAUAUUAAUUGCAGAGCUGCAUGUGCUUGUUGGCACAUAAAACCGCUUUAUAAUGUGGGAGAUUUGCUUACAUUAUGACAGUGAAUUAUCAACACAUGGAAAGUAAGAGAUAAUACAUGCUACUCAAUGAUGAGAGAGAGAGAGAGAGAGAGAGCAACUAGCAAUUGUGUCAUCGUUAAAAGAGAAGUCCCAAUGAAGAAAAGGCAAAAACUCCAUUCCAACACAUACUAACAUAAGCUGGUGGAACUAGAACAAUCACAAACUCACAAUAUGAAGUUUACCAGCUCAAUAUAAGUAUUUGAAUCAGAACAGAAAAUAAAUUUAAAUUUUGAGUAGCCUAUGGGUCAAAAAUAACUAAUUGAGCAAACACUUAGGCCAUGUACAAUGGUUGAUAAGAUAGUGUUAUCUUAAGUCUUGCGUGUAAUUUAGAGAUGAAAAAAAAAUGUCUACAAUGGGUCAUCUCUUAGCCUUAUCUUCAAUAACUAGCUAUUCCUAUAAACAUGGUGAGACAUAUUGUGCUAAGAGAUCAUCGCUUGUCUUCUCUUAAAUAAGAGAAGGCAAACCUUUUUUUAUGAGUUCUCUCCUCCACCUCAUCAUUUAUCCUAUGUGGCACUCCAAAGAUAGCACCAUUGUACAUGCCCUUAUCUACUGUUUCAAACACAUAGAAUUGGUUUCUGUUAUAAUUAUCAGACAAGUAACAGAAUAAUAUCCUGCAAAUUAGAGUUCUGCAAUAAAUCUAGGUAACAUAAGCAAUAGGCAAAGGAUGAUGUAAGGUUGUUAAUCUGCUACAUACUCUCCAAAUCGACAGGUAACUAUUACACAAAGGUUAAAUACGACCAAAAAUCAUUCAAGGAUGAAAUCAGUAAGAAUAAGGGCUAGUGUGAAGGUGAAAUAUAUGAUAACUACCUGAAAAAUGUUGAAUCAGCCUCGGUUGCAACAGCUUUAGCCAAAUAAGACUUUCCUGUUCCUGGUGGACCAUACAGAAGAAAAGCCCUCCAUGGCCUCCGCUUGCCUGAAGAAAAGCAAAAUCCAUGAGUUGCAAAUCAGAAGUUACCUAAAGAAAAGAAAAUCACUAUCCAGUAUAUGCUAGUUAAUAACUAGCUAAGGACACCAAACCUAUAACUGAUAACAGUUGUGACAGUAUUUCAAAACUGUGCUGAUUUUCAAAUCACAUAACCAUAGGAUGCUGAAUGCACAAGGCACACAAAAAGGUAGGAAGUGAACCUAACCUUUACUGUACCAUGUUAGAUAAUCGAAGACCCAUACCAAGCAGUCCAGAUCUUGAUCUAUCUACAAUCUGAUGCAUUUUUUUCUUUUUUAUAACCUAGCUGUACUGUAAGGAUUGGAACCAAUGUUUCAAUGGCUCUGGUUUGACAUUUUCUAUUCCCCUUGGUUUGAUAACCAUCUUCUGAUUCACACUGCCAUGAUUACUAAUUUUUUACUAAAUUUUUGGCUCUACUCAUCUCUUACAAGAGCGAGGUGAUUACAAGUUUAGCUUAGCAAGGUUUUUUGUGAGGAUUGAAGAGUCAACAAAGUUCCUGAAUAUAAUUUGCUAGACAUCCCCGCGACAAACCAAUUAAGUUUGUUCAACUAAGUAGUCCAUAUCUUGAUCUAUCUAUAACCUGCUACAUUUACCAAGCUGUACUGUAAGAAACCAAUGUUUCUAUGGCUCUAUGGUUGAAAUGACUCUUUUUUUAUUCCCCUUGGUUUGAUAAUCAUCUUUUAAUUCAGUAAUUCACACUGCCACCGUCAUUAGAAAAAAAUUGGUUCUACUCCAUACUGUUAUCUGGUACAAGAGCUAGGUACUUACAGUAUAAGUUUACAAAGGUUCUUUGCGGGGAUUGAAUAGUAAAAAAAAAGUUGCUGAAUAUAAUUUGUGAGACAUGCCUUCGCUGACCGGAUAAAUUUGUUCAAUACAGAUCUAUCUAGCAAUAAACGCUCAUAGUGGUUCGAAAUUAUGCUUUUAUCUACGGACACAAACCAGCUUGUGUAGCAUACUAUUAUCUCUUACAAGAGCGAGGUAAUUACAAGUUUAGCUUAGCAAGGUUCUUUGCGAGGAUUGAGAAGUCAACAAGGUUCCUGAACAUAAUUCGCUAGACAUUCCUGCGCUAAACCAACUAAUUUUGUCCAAUAAAGAUCUAUCAAGUAAUACGCGCUGAUGGCAGUUCAAAAUUAUGCAGACAAAAGCCAGCUUGUGUGGCAUAUUUUUACCUGGACUCCAGAACCGAAUAAUUCAUGCUCAUCCAAUCAGAUUAAAUCGAGAUCAAGAUGCAUAAAUACGAUCCACAGCAACUAAAAUCGUCUCAUCCUUGGCGAGGAACAAUUAGUGGCUUCCUUUGGAAAGGCUCACCUGUGAAGAACUGGGGGAACUUGACGGGCAAGAUGACGGCCUCCUGCAGCGCCUGCUUGGCGCUCUCGAGCCCGGCGACGUCGUUCCACUUGAUGUUGGGCUUCUCGGUGAUGAUGGCCGAGUUGAGCCCAGCCCUGAGCUUGGACUGCUCGGAGUCGUCCCCGCCGGCGCCGUCCCCUCCCGCGUCCUUGCCCUUGGUCUUGGGGCGGGUGGCGACGGCCGCGUCGCCGCCGUUGGGGGCGCCGGGGGGCCGCCGCCGCCCUCGUCGAGGACGGCCCGGAUCUCCUCGGCGCGGCGGAGGUACUCGGUGAACUUGGCGGUGAUGGCCUCCUUGAUCUUGGGGUUCUUCUCGUACUUGAGGUGGGUCUUGAAGUACUCGAGCGCGUUCAUGUAGAGCGGGAACGCCUUGACGUAGUUGCCGGCAUUGUCCUCCUGGACGGCCUGCUUCACGUACUCGAUCGCCUGCUCCUUGAAGUUGCUGUACAUCGGGGGAGAGCCGGAAAGGCGCCGCCUUUGCGGCGGAUUCCGGCGGAUCGGCGCGGGGGGCGGGCCGGGGGCGCGCGGGGCGGGGUCGGGGGCCGCGGAUUCGGCGGGGGCGGCGGCGGCGGUUGCUUGGCCCUGGGGUUUGACGAAGGAGGUGGGAAGAUGAGGAGGAGGAGGAGGAGGAGGAGAAAGAGGAACGGAGACGCGGUGCGGUGCGCUGGGGAAAAGGAGACGAAGACAACCGGGGAAGCGUGUGUUUCUUUUUCCUUUUUUUUUAAUUUGCUUCAUCUUUUAAUAUAUAUUUUUGUGCUUUUUAAUUGGAGUGAGAAAAGAAUUCCGUUACUCAAUUUGGAAUUGCUUCUUUUUUUCUCUUUCAAGAAGAUUGGCACGGUACAAGACUCGUACACCUCUUUUGAGCACCACCGAGAUACCGAGACAACACAACAUAAUCUAACUGAUAAUCGUAUAGAAAUAGUUGGUUCUUCAUGUACAAUCAAAAAUAUAAAGGUGAACAUAGUUGAAAAAUCGGUCGGGUUCGUUGAACGAUAGCCCAUGCGCAACACACUGUUUCUGCCCACCGUUGUUUUCAGUCUUAUCUCUUCGCCCAACCGCCCGUCUCUAUGCAUUUUCCUCUUUUCCCCACUGCGUCGUCACUCUUCCAGUCGUCCACCUCACUGCCGCCAUGGAGGUUGUUGAAGGAGAGAGGCGCACCUGCUGCGAGCCCAGGUAGACGACCCAGCCACAACUGUUGCAGGCCUGCAGCCCGGCCGUCGAUGCUCCAGUAAGAUGCAACGGUCGCUGCCCGCAGCACUGCUACGGGCCUGCUGUCGGUGCGGCAAGCCAAGGCGGCGAGCUGCUGCAAAGGGUGGUGACCAUUGGAGCUUCGGUGGACUUCAGGGGAGCGCCGUCGUUGCUUCCAUGGAGUUGGGCCAGUUAGUAUUGCAAUGACCUGCACAUCAGGCGGAGACGACCGCCGUAGGGAGCUCUGCUGCAGGACUCCACCAACUAUUUCAAGGACCCAACUCUCGCAGGGCGAGGAGCUGUAAUGCAUCUCGGUGGUGCUACAGCCCAAAUCUCGUCUACGGCGGAUGGUGCAUGUGAUGCUGCGACCCGGAUCUCGCCGGCGGUAGAGUUGCAAAGGAACUCGACGGCGGCUCCCAGUGCUGCUAUGCAACACUCGCCGACGCCGACGACUUGGAGUUGCGAUGCAAUGUUGUGUGUUGCAUUGGAGCGUGAUACGUCUCCAUCAUAUCUAUUUUUCCAAACUCUUUUGCCCUUGUUCUAGACUCUAAUUUGCAUGAUUUGAAUGGAACUAAUCCGAACUGACGUUGUUUUCAGCAGAAUUGCCAUGGUGUUGUUUUUGCGUAGAAAUAAAAGUUUUCGGAAUGACCUGAAAAUUUACGAAGAUUUUUUGUGGAAUAUAUAAAAAAAUACUGGCGCAAGAAUUACCUGGAGGGACGGAGCCAGGAGCCCACAAGCCCAGGAGGCGCCCCCCCCCCCUAGCCACGCCUGGCAGGCUUGUGAGGCCCUCGUGGCUCCGCCGCCUCCAACUCCAGCUCUAUAUAGUCUCUCUCGCCCAGAAAAAAUUUAAGAGAGAAGAGUUCAUCGCGUUUUACGACACGGAGCCGCCUCCACCACCUGUUCUUCCUCUGGAGGGCGGAUCUGGAGUCCGUUCUGGGCUCUGGAGAGGGGAAAUCGACGUCGUCGUCAUCACUAACCAUCCUUCAUCGCCAAUUCCAUGAUGCUCUUCACCGUUCGUGAGUAAUCUCAUCGUAGGCUUGCUGGACGGUGAUGGGUUGGAUGAGAUCUAUCAUGUAAUCGAGUUAGUUUUGAUGGGGUUUGAUCCCUAGUAUCCACUAAUGUUAUGAGAUUGAUGUUGCUACUACUUUGUUAUGCUUAAUGCUUGUCACUAGGGCCCGAGUGCCAUGAUUUCAGAUCUGAACCUAUUAUGUUUUCAUCAAUAUAUGUGUGUUCUUGAUCCUAUCUUGCAAGUUGCAGUCACCUACUAUGUGUUAUGACUCGGCAACCCCGGAGUGACAAUAGCCGGAACCACUCCCGGAGAUGACCAUAGUAUGAGGAGUUCAUGUAUUCACUAAGUGCUAAUACUUUGUUCCGGUUCUCUAUUAAAAGGAGACCUUAAUAUCCCUUAGUUUCCAUUAGGACCCCACUGCCACGGGAGGGAUGGACAAUAGAUGUCAUGCAAGUUCUUUUCCUUAAGCAUGUAUGACUAUAUACGGAAUACAUGCCUACAUUACAUUGACGAACUGGAGCUAGUUACAUAUCACCCUAUGUUGUAACUGUCACAUGAUGAAUGUCAUCCGGCAAAAUUAUCCAUCACUGAUCCAAUGCCUACGAGUCUUUUCCUAUUGGUCCUUGCUACGUUACUUCACCGCUACCGCUGUCACUGUUGCUACUGUUACCGCUACUGUUGUCACUGUUGCUACUGUUACCGUUGCUACCAUUGCUAUCACACUACUUUGCUACUGAAACUUUGCUGCAGAUACUAAGUCUUUCAGGUGUGGUUGAAUUGACAACUCAACUACUAAUACUCGAGAAUAUUCUUUGGCUUCCCCUUGUGUCGAAUCAACAAAUUUGGGUUGAAUACUCUACCCAUGAAAACUGUUGCGAUCCCCUAUACUUGUGGGUUAUCAAGACUAUUUUCUGGAGCCGUUGCCGGGGAGGCCUAGCUCUAUUCUCUGAGUCACUUGGGAUUUACGUCUAUUGAUCACUAUGAGGAAUCCGAGAGAUCCAAAAACUAAAGUCUUGCCCUCAACUACGAGGACAGGUAAGGAACUGCCAUCUAGCUUUGCACUUGAUUCACCUUCAGUUAUGAGUAAGUUUGCGACACCACCACCUACUAGAAAUUCUGAUGUGUCGCAUGUGCUUGAUGAUGCUACUUCUGCUAUCCAUGAUGCUUAUGAUGAUGCUUUGCUUGAUACUGCUUUUCCACUGGGUGCAUUCCUUGAUGCACAAAUUGCUAGAGUUGCUGCUGAAUGUGAUGAUACUUCUGAAACUGCUGAAAUUAUUGAAGUAGAACCUGUUGUUUCACCUGUUAGAACUAGCUCUCCUAGAUAUGAAUUGCCUGAUAUACCUGAGGGUUAUGUUAUGGAGGGAGAGAUAGCUGAGGACUUUCUUGCUUGUAAGGAUAGUGUCACGCCCAAGAUGCGACCCUAUCCUCAAUUUGGCACGAGGGCCUCGUCAGGGAUAGAAGCGCAUCUCGUCGUGUCGCAAGAAUGGAUAUCGCUACAAGUACAUGUACUGAAAAGAUGGGAUAUAUAAAGGGUUGGCUUACACUCGCCACAAGCUACAUCAGAGUCACAUCAGUACAUUACAUAAUCAUCAAGAGUAAGAGCAGGGUCCGACUACGGACGAAAACAAACGACAAAAGAAGAACGACGUCCAUCCUUGCUAUCCCAGGCUGCCGGCCUGGAACCCAUCCUAGAUCGAUGAAGAAGAAGAAGAAGAAGCAACUCCAAAUGAACAAUCAACGCGCUCGCAUCAAGUAACAUUUACCUGUACCUGCAACUGGUGUUGUAGUAAUCUGUGAGCCACAGGGGACUCAACAAUCUCAUUUCCAAAGGUAUCAAGACUAGCAAAGCUUAAUGGGUGAGGUAUGGUUAAGUGGUGAGGUUGCAGCAGUGACUAAGCAUAUAUUUGGUGGCUAACUUACGAGUACAAGAAAUAAGAGGGGGGAGAUCUACGCAUAACGGACGUCACUACAGAUGAUCAAAAGAAUGAUCCUGAACACCUACCUACGUCAGACAUAACCCCACCGUGUCCUCGAUCGGAGAAGGAACUCACGAAAGAGACAGUCACGGUUACGCACACAGUUGGCAUGUUUUUAAUUAAGUUAACUUCAAGUUAUCAAAACCAGUGUUAAACAAAGCUUCCACGUUGCCACAUAACCGCGGGCACGACUUUCCGAAAGAUUUAACCCUGCAGGGGUGCUCCAACUAGUCCAUCACAAAUUACCACAAGCCGCAUAGAAAUCCUCAAUCACGAAGCUCGCGAUCUCGUCGGAUUCCCUGGUGGAAAACCUCAACUCUGAUAUUACCCAAAGCAUCACCGGAAUCCCGAUGCACAAGAUAUCUCGUCAAAGGUAAAACUAAUCCAGCAAGGCCGCCCGACGUGUCGACGAUCCCGAUAGGAGUCGCGUACCUCGUUCUCAGGACACGGCGGAUGAGCUAGACGUCGGGAUCGCUAAACCUCCGGGUGACCAGAGGGGCGCCGGACAUCGCUCAGGUGGGGCCAACACUCAUGAGGAGCACUGGCCCGGGGGUUGAUUAAAUUAUCUUCGGGGUCCGGAAAGUCCCUAUGCAAUUUUAUUAGGUGUUUAGGCAAAUGUAGUACCAAAGUUGGGCCUUGCCAGACCAGCUUUAAUCUAAAACGAAUUAUCAAGGGGGUCCCCAUAACAACCCCGAUCGUGUCAGGAGCGCUCAUUUAUGGAACAUAACACCGGUAGCCGAAACUAAGGGGACAAAGGUGGAACAAAACACCAGGCUAGGAAGGCAGAGCCUUCCACCUUUUACCAAGUAUAUAGGUCCAUUAAAUUAAAUAGCAUUAAUAUAUGGUGAUAAGACAAGGAACCCAUGUUAUCACAUGGAAGCAUCUGCACCUGCAACUAGCAACGCUAAACAGGGUUAAGCAAGCAGUAACAUAGCCAAUCAGUGGUUUGCUAGGGUGAACAGGUUGAUGGUUUCAUGGCCUUGUAGAGAGGCUGAUAUUUAACAGGUGGUAGGCAACGAGACGUAAACGAUAGCAACGGUAAAACUAGCAUGGCAAUGAUAGUAAUGGUAUCUGGGGAAAUGAUCAUCUUGCCUGAGAUCCCGCUUGGAAGAAGAACGACUCCGUGAAGCAGACGAACCGACGUAGUCGAACGGGUCCUCACAUCCGACACGCUUGCGGAACUCUAUCGAGACGGGGAAACCGGAAACAAGCAUCAACACACGAUAUUCACCACACGAUGCCCAACACAUAUGAUGCAUGAGCUACUGAAUACAUGCAAGUCACGGCAUGACAAUCCACGCAAUCAAACGCUACACAUUAAAUGAAGUUCAAUAUGCAACGAGUUGCAUAUUGACGAAACUCCACGUUAAUCAUUUAGUUCACUCCCGGUUAUCUACACGACAAUAUUAAUGUUGUCAAACAUGCAAGAGGUGAAGCGGAAAUUAAACUACCUAUCUAGGCAUUUUAAGUGAGGUCGGAAAUGACAUAUAGCACCUCCGAGACGACCUCACGGGUUAAUUUACAAUUCUGUCCAGAUCUGAUCUAAUGUAUUUAAUUAGUUGUUAAACAGCAAAACAAAUAGGUUCACGUGUUUCUACGCGUCAAGGCAAGUAAUCUACACGUAAAGAACAUCUCCAACGGAGCUACGGAACAAAAGAUACAAGCACCGCAAGAUAUGAUGACAUGAAUGCAAAAUUAUGUGCAACGGCGGCUACGAGCACUUCAAAACAAACAACCCGCAAGAGAAAAUGAAACUACAUAAGAUUCUAAGCAAGUAUCGUGUAGGACACGCUCAAAACGGAGCUACGGUUUGAAAACUACAAGCAUAACAAGAAAACACUACAAGCUGCCAAAUUCAGCCACAUAGCACUUUCUACGCCUCACAACUUCGGCUACACAACUCCGGUAUGCGCAAACAAGACAUGGCAUGAAAGAGGGCAAGACGCACUACUACAAACAACUAACAACAACUAGCAUGGCAGCAAGGAGCACUAGGAAAAGAAGACACAAAACGGCAUCUCGCGCACUAUUUCAGACUUAGUGAAAAUAACACCUCCUGAAAGUGCAGUUUUCAGCCUGAAGCUAUAUUGAAAGAAGCAAAACCUAUAGCUACAGGACUCCAAAUGGCAUGAAACAUCACAGCAUGCUAAAGAAACACAAGGGGUACAAUUAACUCCAUUGGACCAACCUCAUAAGAGCUACAGAUCUCAAGAUGCAAGCAAGACAAGACAGCAACAAAAUAAUACCAGAUUCCAGACUUAGAAAUAUUUCAGCUCCUCCAAAACAGCACUAUCUCUAGCAACUUGAGAGCAAGCAAACAACACCUAAACAUGCAUUUCUAUUGCAACUAAAAAAUACCAGGGGCUAAACAAAACACCCAAGAUCAACUCCCUAGUUGACAACUAAUUCAAACGAGGCACGGAAUAAAUCCUACGAAUUAAACAAAAGGGCAUCACGGCAAAAUAUCUCGCGAACUAACUUCCUCAAAAGCUAAAACUAAUUGCACAGAAAAAUCCAUGGGAUUUUUCUACCCCGGAAACAUAUAAAAUAUGUGGGGUUUGCAACACAAAAUAAUGCCACACAAUAACGCGGGAGAAAUAAACCUAGACACGAAAAAUAAUCUAACGGGCAAUCCCUACACGCAAAAUUACACUUGACCGCUCUAAAAUGCAUGGCAAAUAGCUCCCUAGAGCAUGGACAUUUACUCUACGUCAUACGAACAACCCGGACACGCGCGGAAAAUAACCAUGGAUCGGAUCCUAUUGUAACAGCACGCAAAACAAAGCAUUAGGCACCCUAAACGGCGUCAAACAAUUACGCAAGUUGGAUAAACGUGUUCUACUCGUGAAGCUACCCCAAAACGAUAUAUAACACGUCUCGAACCGGCUUACGGUUUAAAAGUUACGGGGGUUUAAAUAAAUAGCUAAAUCCUGAAAUUAACUAAACCGAAAAAGAAAAAAAAAACUAAAUCUCUAACGGGCCGAAUCUGGUGGCGCAACAUAUCUAACGCGCACCUAGGCAAGGAGUUCUCACCUAGCGGGCUCAGCCCAUGAAGGGGAGACGGUAGCAGGCCGAGGGCGGCCAACUGGGCCUGGCCGGUGGCUCGGCUUGCUCGGCCAGGGGCGCUUGGAGGUGGGCCGGGGCGAGCGGUGCCAGCUGGGCCGGCUCGGCAGGAGGCCCACGCGCGGGCAGAGGAGGCGCUCCCGUCUCCACUCUCGAUCCCGAGCGGCGGCGCGAUGGCUCCUGCCGUGGCGGCCGGCGAGGGGGGACCACCACGGGGCGCAGGGCCACGACGGGGAGGCGAGGGCGGCGCACGCGGAAGGAGAGCCGGCGGGGCUGCGGGGCAGGGCGGCGGCGAGGUCGAUGCCGGCUGCGCGGGAUCUCGCGCGGGGGCAUACCGGUGGGGAGGCCGGCCUGCGUCGGCGGGCCUGUGGCCGAAGGGAGGCGGCGGCGGGUUUCCACGAGGCGGCGGCUGGCGCAGCUCGGCUGCUGCUGCGGGCACGGGCAGCGGCGGCCGGAUCCGGGCCUGGAGCGGGCCUGCUGCGGGCCUCGCGGGCCGGCGGCGGGCAGGGAGAGGGAGGAGAGGCUGUGGCGGCUAGGGUUAGGUUAGGGCGCGGAUCCCGAGGAGGAUUAGGGGGGCGCCCAAAAUAGGCAGGGAGGGGUGCUUAAAUAGGGAAAUGGGCUAGGAUGCACGGUAUGUGGGGGUUUUUCGACCCUCCGGACGCGUUCGCGCGGUCCGAUCGGAGAGGCGGGUUAAGGUUAGGUGUGUGGAGUGGCGUUGGCUAAGAUGAGAGGGAAGUGGUGCGGCGCGGCAUCGACUUUUAAGACACCGACACACGUCCGAUGACUAACCGAAGACGGUGCCGCUACGGUCGACCGUUCAGGUACCAGGCGGUCUCCGAUCGCGACGAAAUUCGACAGGCGGCCUAGCUAAAACUAAUCGCGACCGCGUGCCAAGUUUCACCUCGAUCAGAGAGAGUUUAAAAUGCACAUUAAAAACAGGGUUUCGACGGUGCCGCGGGCGCGUGCGUGUGCGGUCGGACUUAGAACGGACAACGACGAGGACCGGCAACUACUAACGGAUGCAAGUUUUGAAAACGGGCGGCAACGGGAUGCCGAUGCAAUGCAGAUGAUGCGCAUGAUGCGAUGAUGAUGCGACAAAACAAAAAUAGACACACGAUGAAAACGGAAAGAGAGGGGAAUCUUCUGGAACGUCGGCAUCGGGCUGUCAUAGAUAGCUAUGAUCUUGAGAAUUUAUUGCGCAAGUGGAAAGAAAAAUCUGUGAACUCUAGAAUGAAAUACGAUCCUAAGUUUGCUAGUUCGCCCAUCUUUGUUACUGAUAAGGAUUAUGAAUUCUCUGUCGAUCCUGAGUUAAUCACUUUGGUCGAAUCUGAUCCUUUUCAUGGUUAUGAGUCUGAAACAGUUGUAGCACAUCUUACUAAGCUGCACGAUAUAGCCACCCUAUUCACGAGUGAGGAAAAGAUUUGCCACUACUAUAUCCUUAAGUUGUUUCCUUUCUCGCUAAGGGGUGAUGCUAAGACUUGGUUUACUUCUCUUGCUCCUGGUUGUGUGCGUAGUCCCCAGGAUAUGAUCUAUUAGUUCUCUGAGAAAUAUUUUCCUGCCCAUAAGAAACAAGCUUCCUUGCAUGAUAUAUAUAACUUUGUGCAAGUUGAAGAAGAGAGUCUCACACAAGCUUGGGGAGGCUUGUCCAGCUACUUAAUGCUUUGCCUGAUCACCCUCUUGAGAAAAAUGAAAUACUUGAUAUCUUUUAUAAUGGACUAACCGAUGCUUCUAGGGACCACCUAGAUAGUUGUGUUGGUUGUGUUUUCAGGGAACAAACUGUGGAACAAGCUGAGAUUCUAUUGAAUAAUAUCUUGAGCAAUGAUAAUGCUUGGACUAUUCCCGAACCACUUCCGAAGCCCACUCCGAAGAAAAGAGGUAUUCUAUUCCUCAGUCCUGAAGAUAUGCAAGAAGCCAAGAAAUCUAUGCAAGAGAAAGGUAUCAAAUCUGAAGAUGUUAAGAAUCUACCACCUAUUGAAGAAAUACAUGGUCUUGAUAACCCGACACAGGUAGUAGAUGUAAAUUAUCUUCGUAGAUUCAAUGAGAGUGAUAUUCCUUUUGAUAAACCUGCUAGCUUAUGCUUAGAUGAAUUUGAUGACUUUGUUGCCAAACAACAAAGUUUCAAUGAUUAUGUUAGCAGACAAUUGAGGCAAAAUGCUCGUAUGAUUGAUCAUAUAAGUGCUUGUGUGAAUAAAAAUGUCAAUGAUCUUAAGCUUUUGAGUAAACAUGCCUCUAUGGUCACUACUCAAGUAGAACAAGUACUUAAGGCUCAAAAUGACUUGCUCAAUGAGUUGAAUGACAAGUCUGUUAGAGUUAUCACUAGAGGUGGUAGAAUGACCCAGGAACCUUUGUAUCCUGAGGGUCAUCCUAAGAGAAUUGAACAAGAUUCUCAAGGAGUUAGCACUGAGGCACCUAGUCAUCCUAGUAAUAGGAAGAAAAAGAAAGAUGAUAGGAACUUGCAUGCUAGCAAACCUGCUGUUGUUACACCUGAGAAUCCAAAUGAUAUCUCUGUCUCUGAUGCCGAAACACAAUCUGGUGAUGAACAUGAGCCUAGUGAUAAUAUUGAUAGUGGUGUUCAUGUUGAUGCUCAACCUAGCAAUGAUAAGGAUGUGGAGAUUGAACCUGUUGAUCUUGAUAACCCACAACCUAAGAAUAGGAGAUAUGAUAAGAACGACUUCAUUGCUAGGAAGCAUGGUAAAGAAAGGGAACCAUGGGUUCAGAAACCCAUGCCCUUUCCUCCAAAACCAUCCAAGAAAAAGGAUGAUGAGGAUUUUGAGCGCUUUGUUGAAAUGAUUAUAUCUGUCUUUCUGCAAAUGCGUUUGACAGAUAUGCUCAAAAUGUCUCCUUAUGCUAAGUACAUGAAAGAUAUUGUGACUAAUAAAAGGAGGAUACCUGAGGUUGAGAUUUCCACCAUGCUUGCUAAUUACACCUUCAAGGGUGGAACUCCUAAGAAACUAGGUGAUCCCAGAGUGCCCACUAUACCUUGCUCCAUUAAAGAAAACUACGUUAUAACUGCUUUAUGCAAUCUUGGAGCCGGUGUUAGUGUUAUGCCUCUCUCUCUUUAUCGUAGGCUUGAAUUGGAUAAGUUGACACCCACUGAAAUGUCUUUGCAAAUGGCCGACAAAUCAACUGCUUUUCCUAUCGGCAUUUGCGAGGAUGUGUGAUAACCCACAAGUAUAAGGGAUCGCAACAGUUUUCGAGGGUAGAGUAUUCAACCCAAAAUUAUUGAUUCGACUCAAGGGGAAGCCAAAGAAUAUUCUCAAGUAUUAGCAGUUGAGUUGUCAAUUCAACCACACCUGAAAGCCCAGACCUCGCAGCAGGAAAGAAACAAAGCAGACCCUUUCACCCUUUUGCGGGGUAGGGAAGUUCUCUGCGAGGGCCUCGCCGUUAGCGGAAUUCAAUCCAACACGAGUAGGCGCGAGAUCCGAUGUGGGGAGAUAUCCUUGUACUUCAAGGUUGCGCAACUAGAGUAGGGAAACGGAACAACUUGCCCAAUCUCUCGGGAGGGGUCCAAAGGGUCGCGAGGAGGAACCCACCAUGGCUCUGGGCGCUGGAGCUCCAGGGUUUUCUUGGUGGAGCUUGAGGGGUGAUGGUCAUCCAAGGACGAAUUUGAUCUGUUUAUAAAGAGUAUUUUUUUUCCGCGGUUACAAGAAGCGGUUCCGUGAGGGACUACUAGAUUGCUUUUCCUCAUUAAUGCGCACAAGAAUCGAGUGCUGCUAUCGAUUCUCGAAAGGAAAUUUUGGAGGAUGUGGGCCCCGUGAUGCUUCGAUAAUCGAGAACUGGUGAUGACUGGAUCGUCGUUCCACAAAUCAGAGGGGAUGGAGGAACUCGCCUCACAAGCCGAUCACUCUGGGCGCGAGAAGCUGCAGAAGACCCUAUACAUCGGCGUUGGACGCAAGUUCGGGGUUUACUGAGGGAGUCCUGGACAAAGGGGUCCUCGGAUGGUCGGCCCAUCUCUAAUAGAUCGACCAUAUGGGCCGUAUUAUUGAAUAACGAACUGCAUGAUGACUUUGUAUUCGAGAAGGAAAGCUCCGAAGACUCGCAUAUCGUCCAAGUUUAAUAGUUUAGGUCGGCGCCCCUAUCCCCGACUCAAGGUCGGUUGUAUGUAACCCUAGGGACCCUUGGUGUUUAUAUAAACCAGAGGGUUUCAUCCGUACAGCCAGGUUGAUUCAUCUAGGAUUUAGCUCAUAUAAGCUCGAGGUAGAUCAACUCUGUAAUCCUUGUACACCAUGAAUAUAAUCAAGCAGGACGUAGGGUUUUACAUCCUUAAAAGGGCCCGAACCUGGGUAAAUACUGUCUCCUUCAUCUCGUGCAAUCCAUCAAUCAAAGGUCCAAAGUUCACGGCCCCUACCCGAGAUCCGCCGGUUUCGACGCCGAUAGCAUCGACAUUGGCAAGAGGGCGCGACAACACAGAAAGAAUACAUAUUCUUAGCUUUCAGGGUGAAAACCCCAAGUAUGAUUGUGCCUGCCGGUGCCUCGUUGAAGGUUUUAUUUUGAGAGCGUGGAUUUUCUCCCGGGUGAAAAUCUAAGAUCAGUGAUCGGAGGACGACGGAGCUUGUGCACGGUCCGAUCCAGCCUGCCGUCAGGCUGGACGCCGGCACCACCACGGUGCCUAGCAACCGGCACCACCGUGCCAGCAUGGAGUCACGUCAGUUAGAGUGCUAUCACCCGCCCAAGCCUAUCUGGACCGCGCGAUAUCUGGUUGCUCAUGCCUGCCAUGGAGCAAACCGCGCCUCCACUGUCAAGCCGGCUCACGCUCUUCACCGGGAUCCCGCCACUCCACACAGCUGGACCAUCGGCAGAUCGCGAGUCUCCACCGCCAUGCACGGGAGAAGGCCGCCGACUCACCCCACAAGGCCAGCGGUGGCCGCGUGCGAGAUCCGAUCCGGCGGCACCGAGAUCGACCGACGCUGAGAACAGUGGUCUUCCUCCUACCACCAUGAAAGGGGACAUGGCCACCUUGAGCUGCUGCUCGCGUCCCGUGCGGAAGAAGGCCCUAGCUCGCCAUGUCUCAGGCUCAGCCUCUUUGCCGAUACAAGUAAGCGAGUGCGGCCGAGCCCCAACUGAACUUGUUGUCGAAAACAGUCAAUGCCUUCAGCCACAUCCAUGGAGCAUUCUUGCCAGUGCCGUCAGCGAAGAUAGUCCUAGAGAUGACAUACCACAUGUACACACGAGCAUACGUCUGGAUCACCUCGUCAUUUGCGUCCUGAGGAUAAUGAGCAAAGUUGGCGGCAAUCCAAGUGAAAGGAGCGCCGGCCGGGACUCUAUCUUUCUUCCCUCCAUCUUCUACCUCCGGCUCUGGAGGCGAGAUACCAAUAAGAGCCUCCAUUUGUUGACGCCAUCCCUCGGAAUCAGUGCUCAUACAAAGAGGCUUCCCCUCGAUCGGAAGUGCGGUGAUCAUGAAAACAUCUUGAAGAGUCACUUCAUCUCUCCGGUCCGGAGGUGAAAACUAUGUGAAGACUUCAUCAAAUUUCUGGAAUGGGAAGUACACAGCGUAGAGGAAAAGGUACGUUGGAUUCACAACCUGCGCAUGCAUCUGCAUUCUACCAUGUCAGUGGAGUGGACGGCACGCUGUAUUUACCAUUCUCUCUUUUCUUCUUCUUUCUGGGAGCUCCAACUCCCUUUUGUAUAGUGCUGCUACAAUUUCUUAAACAAAAUCAAUAAUACUACACGCACUAGGAGAACUCUCUAUUAUUUUCGGUGAAAACAGAAUGGCAAGUAACCUGUUACGUCCUGUUUGGAUUAGCAUUUCCAUUCCAAAUACACCUGUAAAACCCCGUCGUUUUGAUUUCCGGUUAGAAAUAGUUUUUCAUCUGUAAGUUACACUUGUAAGAAUAAUACAUCUGUAUUUACAUCGAUUCCAAGCGCGGCCUUAGUGAUGCCAAACAUGGUAUUAGUGUUUCCCUCCCAUGCAGCCAAGAAGCAGAGCACUUGUAUUCUAAAAGAAGCAGAGCACCCCUGAGAUACUGCAAAAUAUGAAGACAUCUCUGAAUAUCCACGUAGAGAAAAAUGAUUAACAAUGGCUAGAAAGAUCAUCCACAUCGGAAUAACAGUAGGAUGUAACAUUAGUCGCCAAACAGCUGUUUAAUUCCCCUCAUCAGGAAAACAUUGGUGUAUAAAGUUACUAUUGUCCAAGUCCAACCACUUGGGUUUAGAGUACAUGCCAUCUGAUGAACCCGAACCACUAAAAAAUAUUUGCAAAACAAACCAUGCCCUCCUUAUGACAGAGCAAAUAUUCUGAAGUUUCUACCUCCGAAAGUUCUUAAGUUUUUAGGUUGAAGCAGUUUAACUUUCUUAACCGCUGAAUCAGUUUGAAGACUAGUAAUUUUCUGCCUCCGAAAGUUCUUAAGUUUUAGGACCUAAGUUAAUGUUUGAAUCAGUAUAUCAUAGAACAGACACACAAUUUAAAGGUUCUUACACACUAUAUCAAGCAUGCGACAUUACAUUGCUUAUAUAUCAUAACACCGACCAGCUGAGCAGCCUUCUCCAUGCCAUUCCACCAACCAAUGUUUAUUCUGGCCAUGGAAUGGCAGUAGAGCACCCAUUGUAAUCUGUCCCUGCAAUUAUAGUUGUGAAACGCAGAGCGCUGCAUGUCAGAUUAGUAAGCAGUGAUGAAGAGAAAAACUAAAUAAAAGUUAAAUAUAAUUAGAAUCUACUAGCUCCCAAUUCAUUAUCAUGCAGAUGCUGCAUCUCAAUAAGCAGUAUAUGGUUAGCUUUCACACAGCAGGGAAUAGAGAAAUAAACUACAGGAGCAUAGAAAUUUCUGAACGUACCAUUUUGAGCUCUGCACUUCCUCCCAUCCUGUCCACUUGAUCGCCCUACGCAGGUUCAAUGCUAACAUCAGGACUCCCUGGAUGCUUGUUGAUUGCCUUCCUAAGCAUAACCUUGAGACUAUGCUCGUCCCACCGUUGAAUCUCUUCCAGGCACGCCGGCAGCUCAGAAACCAGCGCCGAAAGUUCAACAAGCCUGCUAAAAUUCUCCUGGUGACAGAUAUACACCUUGAAUGUCUCUAGGCUUCCCAGAUGCUCGAUUCCAUCAAGCACACUAUCAUCACCUUGCCGCUCUGCUUCUGCAUAACACUCCAUAGUGAGGCUCUGGACCCUGGGCAUGGCCCCUGCCUCGAACAUGAGGCAAGGUGCUUUAUACCUGAACCAAAAUUCCUUGAGAUUUGGAAAUGUUGCAGCUCGGAUGAGUAAGCCUUGUAUGGGAACAUGCUCCCGAACAUACAAUUCAAGGUGAACCAGCAUGGUCAGCCUGGCCAUAACCUCCAAACCAUCUCUCAGCAGUGACCGGACUUCAAUUUUCAGGCUUCUGAGCUGGUUGAGUUGUGCAACCCAAUCUGGGACGAUGGAGAAGGUGAAGCCCUGCGCAUGUAAUCGAUGAAGAUGACUUGGUGGUGGUGUGGACCAACAAGUUAAGACAUACUUCUCCAAGUAACUAUAUCUUGCGAGACCAUGGAAGGUGAUGGAUUGAAGCCUGCCAAGUCUAUUGAGGGAGAGGAGUAGAGAAUCAUAAACAGAAUCAUAAUUAGAACCAGAAUCAGGAACAAAAGGCCCUUCGAGAUAUAACUCUAGCUCUCUCAGAUUGCUCAGAGCACCCAGCGCCUUCAUGCUCUUCGCAUCUCGGCGAAGUAUGAAAAAUCCAACCAAAGUACAAAGGGCUUUCAUCCUGCCGAUCGCACCAAACAGUUUGACACCUGUCGGAACAAUCAGAUGGCACAAUGUCGACGGUAAUAUGCUGACAUCUAGCCGGAAAAAUCCUACACCACUAGCUAGCUCCAAUGUCUUUAAAUUUUGUAACUUAUGCAAUUCUCUUAACUGUUUCUCACAAUGCACACCUCCAAUCUUCAAAUAACUCAGCUGGAAAAAGUUGCAUAUGGGAGAUAGAUCAUAGUGUUGAUAUUCGUGUCCACCAGCAUGAAGAUGCAGAACUCGCAGAAGUUGAAAACUUGAGAGAGAAGGCAUACAUUCAGGUUCACCCCAAAAGUUCAAAGACCUAACUUGGGUGAGAGCCGUGUUACCCAACACCUGAGUGCAUUCUGAAUUUACUAAGUUGGAGGGAUAGCCGGCGAAAUUCGAAACCGCCAUUCCUGUUGUGUGCACCAUUACCUGUAGGUGGUUCCUUGAUUACGGUGAUAAAGUUUUCUUCUGUGGACUUUAGUAUGAUAAAGUCAAGCAUUAGAUCAUGCACUCUACAGGACAACACAUGCCCGCAAUCAUCGUACUCGUCUAUUUGGAUCAUGUUUUUGUUGAUGAGCUCAGUGAAGUAGCUUUCUGCAAUAUCCUCAGGGCCAUAACCAUGCUUCUCAGUAACAAAACCCUCAGAAAUCCAUCUCUUCACCAAAUUUUCUUUUCUAAUUUUAGAACCCUGCGGGAAUAUACCAAGGUACAAUAAACAUGUCUUAAGGUCCAAUGAUAAAUCAUUGUAGCCAAGAGUAAGCACAUGCCUCAUCCAUUCAAAUGCAGGAUGUCCUUCCAAUGGAAAACCUAAAUGAUUUUGCAUCUUCUCCCAGGUUUCCUUUGAGCUCACCUCUUCAUGACUAGCCAAAUAGCUGGCAACACUGAGAAUAGCUAAUGGAACCCCAUCACAUUUCUUCAAUAUUUCACCAGAAACAUUCUUUAGUUGCUUUGGACACGCUUCGUCAGAAUAAAAUACCCUUUUAUAAAAUAAUCUCCUCGAGUCAAGAUCAUUAAGAGGUUUGAUCCUGUAGACAUGCCCAUGGAAACAAGAACAACAUGCCUUAGCCACAUCUUCAUUUCGUGUAGUUGUGAUAACUCUGCUACCAAGAUUAUUCUCCACAAAACAAACUUUAAAAGUAUUCCAUGCGUUUAUUGCCCAGAUAUCAUCCAACACAAUAAGGUAUCUGUCAAACAACACAAGAUACAAUUGUUGUGUUAAUCGCACAAACAAUGUAGGAUCCUAACAUGUGGUUUCAUCUCAGAAGUUUACAUUAUAUGAUCUUUAUACAUAACUUAAUUAAUUAAUCAUGAUAACAUAUAUACCUUUUAUCUCUGAGGUAGUUCCGGAGUUCGACGAUGAGUUGUCCAUCUUUGAGGCUAGAAGGCAUCCAGCCCCUAAAUGCUUGGUAUAUAUCUGAAAGAGUCUUGAACGUACUGGCAUUUUGAGACACCGUUACAAAAGCCUUGCAAUCAAAUUGGCUUUUGAUCUUGGUAUAAACUUGGUGGGCGAGAGUUGUCUUGCCCAUACCUCCAGAUCCAACGACAGCCGCAACUCUAAGGCGAUUUGCGCCGUCUUCUUCCCGACUGAGCAACUUGAUGAGCUUCUCCCUCGGGCCGUCUAUGCCUACGAGGUUGUUGGGGUCUACAUAGAGUGCCUCCAUUCGAGGGUCAAUAGCCACCAGCCCCCCAGCCCGAGGAGAAGGGAUGCAGUCAGGAGGAGGAGAAAGGGUGCGCUCAUCAAUCUUAUACCUAUGGUGGCAGCUGCUUACUUGGAGCGCCCGAGCCUUGAGUUCCUCGACGCGGCUGGCGAUCUUGUGGCGCGUCUUGAUCUUCCUGAGCCUGCGCCUAAGCCAGGCCUUGCCGCCAUGGCCGCUGCCGUUGAGGUCAUGGGUGAAGACGUCGACGCAGUCCUCCAUGUCGUAGGAGAGCUCGCGCACCUUGUCACGCCAGUCCCUCUGCUGCUCGUCGAGCGCCGCCGCCCGAGAGAGCCUGACGAGGAGCGCGUUCAUGCUGCCCAUCUCGUUCCUCAACGAGACGAUCUGCUUGUGCACGCCGCUGGACAGCUUGUACUUGCCCGCCAGCAACGCCGCCAGCUUGGGCAGCAGCGUCCUCAUGGCUCCCGUCACCGCGCUCACCACCCCCCCCCCUCCAUCUUCCUCUUCUCUCGAUCACUGUGGAAGUAGUAGGAAUGCAGGAACCGCGGAGCAGUGUGCCAACUCUGAGGUUUCAGGAGGAAGAAGCAGCUUGGUAAUUGAGUAGAGUUCACGUUGCAAUAAUGAUGCUCUCGUCUGUUUGUCUGGUCCACCAAGCGCGUGGUGCGUACGUGUGAACUGUGGACUCUACCCAUGGAGUCCACUGCAUUACUGCAUUAUGGACCCUGAACCCAGACAUGAACCCAGACAUGGACACUGAACCCAGUAAUGCAGCAUGGCCCACCCAGAACGACUCUUGGCGGCCGACUAUGCCGUGUCGUCUGGGGCAGGAAUUAAUAGUGCAGUAUAAAGCAGCGAUGUGACGGGAGCGAUGAGAACGUCCUCUUUUGCCUACGCGUCUUCUGAGUAGUGGACCUUCAGUCCCGGCCGGGCCAAACCAAGCCCCACGUAGAAAGCAUAGGCCCGAGCCCGGCCCGGCCCGCCCGUUGGGACUAGAUUUUACGCCCAAGAACAGCCCAUCACUGCUAAAUCCCGCCAGGCUUCGGGCCUCGGGCCGGGCCCCUUCCCUAAAACGUGAAAACACCAAGCACAGGCCCGGCCUGACAUACUCUUCAGACUCAAAAUUCAGGCUCAAAUAAGGCCCGCGGGCAAGACCGUGCCGGGCCGAGUCGGGCUUUUUCGGGCCUGGUCGGGUCGGGCCGGUCGGGCGGGGUAUCCCAUGACCAGGUAUAGUCCUCAGUCCUCUUUCUAAGAGCAAUUUGAACCGUGCGACCCAAACAGAUGCGCGCUAUGUUCACUUUUUGUUCGAUUGAAUUGGCAUUGUUCGUUUCAUUUUAUAAAUGGGUUGGGCGUGCGCUCAACGGGAUGACCCAAAUCUCGCCCUCGAGACCAGUCAGCAUCCAUUUUUUAAUCACACUCCGUUUCGGAUUUGAACGUUAUUUCUGUUUCAUCAAAUGCAUUUCAAUAUAUGUAUUUUUUUUAUCAAUUAUUCACUACGAAUAUAAGACCAAAGAAAACAAGAACCAUAAUUAGACAUUUUAAAAGAUGUCCAACUUUCAUAACUGCUCCUACUAGUUGGAUUAAGAUCUUCUCUAUGUUUUUGUUGUUGAUCUGUGGAUUCUUGAGCUUAACAACGACUUUCUUCUUUGAUACUAAAAAUUGGACGUUGCUUCCCAUUUGGUCUCUUCUUUAGUCUCAUCUAUACCUUUAAUUCUAGAAAAAAUUGCAUGAGCAUCUAGCAAAUUUCGUGAGAUCAAUAGGUCGAUGUAUUCUUCUUCCCAAUACCAAAAAUUGUAUCCAUCCUACACAAAAUAUUCAGCAAAUAAUAAGCUAUCGAAAUUGCAUCGAAUCAUCAAAGAGAAAAAGGUCGAACGAAAAUCAUACCCCGUCGUUUGUGCACUUCACGAACACCCAACCGGGAUGUUUCGGCGUCCAAGAAACGCGUCGGACGACGUGCAGUGGGCAGUCGUCGCACUUUAUGAGCUGCAAAGGUGAGCCGACAAGCUUUUAGGUCAGCGCCGAGCCAGGGUGACGGUCGGCCGUGGCCUUGUCGGCGAACCUACAACGGGUCAGACCCGAGGGGCUAGAGGUGGUUUGAUUGCCUGCAUGUGGCACCGAGGGAUUCGCCAAAUCCCAUCGACGGGAUGCGCAAAAUUUCGUCGUUGCCGUCGCAGAUCCACCAUUAGGCCUCCCGCACCGGGACGAAGGAGGCACCCCGUCGCUGGAUUUGCUCCUGGAGAGCUAGGGUGGCCGGGGAAAAUGGGGUCAUCGGCCUAGGAUUUGUGUGCUUGCAGGCGGUGGGUAGGGGAAGGGGAUAAGAAGGAGAGACUGUGAUGCCAACUGGCAGGCAAGGGGAAGGAGCACGCAGGCGAGGCACGUGUCUGCUUCGUGUCCGCGGCGACGGAUAUGACGCCCAAAUUUGAGCCUAGAGUGGGUCAUGGGUGGACAAAAACGGACGCGCGUCCGUUUGGAUCGGCAUGUUGGGCCAACUUUUCUGUCCGACGACCCAAACGUACACAGGCGAACGAAAUGGAUCACCCGGUUGGAGUUGCUCUAAAAGCAUUUCUAACAGCAACGCCAACCGACCGACCCAUUUUGUCCGCGCGUGUCUGUUUGGAUCAGUACACGUACAAAACUUGACCCAACAAAAUGAUUUAAACGGAUGCGCGUCUGUAUUUUGUCUUUCCGCGACCCAUUUUAGGUCCAAAUUUGGAUCCCAUUUGUGUUGGCGCACACAUGAGACAGACCCCUGGGAGGCCCGCUGUUAGAGCAUAAUUUCUCCAUAUGUGAUUUUGGUAAUUGAUGACAAUCCCUAUGGACUAAUGGUUGCCUUCAGUUAUAUUCAAAGGAUUUGUCCAUAGACACUUCUUGAAGUCCAUCUGUUGGUUUCAAGGAGUUUAUAUGAUGUUCAAUGUGGCAUUCAAGGUAUUAUCCAAAGAAUGAUCAUAAAGACACAAGGUUGAUCAAGACUAAGACAAAGAGUAAAUCAAGUUGAUCAACACACAAAGCGUAAAAGAUGUACUGAGAGUGAUCAACACACAUAGCAAGGAUGGAUGUAGUUAUUUUAUCGUUUGUUUUCGUUCGUAGUCAGACCCUGCUCUUCUUCAUGACGAUUGUAUGUAUUGUACUGAUGUGACUCUGAUGUAGCUUGUGACGAGUGUAAGCCAACUCUUUAUACUCAUCUUUUCAGUACAUGUACUUGUAACGAUAUCCAUUCUUACGAAACGACGAGAUGUGUUUCUAUCCCUGUCGAGGCCCUCACGCCAAAAUAAGGAUUGGAUCGCAUCUUGGGCGUGACAUCCGCUCUGCAAUCGACGUGAUGCACAUGAUGAAGAAUCUUUGUGUGAACCAUUUAGGCUUUUUGGGCGCGUAUGAGAAGACAAAAGAUACACCGGAGACAAGGGAGGACCAGCAACGUAUGCAUGAAAAAGAAGGCAUGCAUCCAAAACAGUAUCAAGGUCCUGCCAACUACGUUCUUACCAAAGCAGAGAAGGAAAUCUUUUUUGAAUGUCUGCUCAGUAUCAAGGUCACUACAAGAAAUAUGCUCAUACAUGACGUUUUUUAAGAUGUCGUUGAUGAAUUCGUCAUAAAUCUAUGACGAUUUCAUCCGAGAUUGUCGUAAGCCGUUUGAGGGGAUCAAAUCUACAUAUAAAUUACAACGACGUGAGUUAAAAACGUCAUCACAACAUAAGAUGAGAUCGUCAUAACUUUUAUGACAAUUAUAAAAAUGCCGUAACAUGUUCUAACUAUGUUGACAUGUCACUCGUGGGUCCAUUAUAAAAAAUCUUUUGACAACAAACCAUUUGGUCAAUUGUAUAUUUAAUAAGACAUAAAAUUUUAGAAAAAUGAUUUGGUCCAAUUUUGCAAUAAAUAUUUGGUAGGUCCUUCACAAAAAAAACUCACUUUAGGCACUCGAAAAAUAUAAAAUGGAUUUUUCGUGCAAAAAAAUGAAAAGUCCCUUUGACAACAUUAUUUGUAAUUCCAAGAUGCAAGCUUGUAUACUUUAAGAGAUCAUAUUUGGAUUUUAUCAUGUGAAAAAGUAGAAGCAAAACAAUAGAAAAAAUACAAUUGCAUAUGCUUUAUUCUGAUUGGUGGAAUUGGUUAUGGCAUGGAUCGAUGACAUGGCGUUCAUCCAUCCAUCCAUAUCUCCAUCCCCAUACAUCCAUCCCUCUGUCUCGCGCACACGAACCCUAGCCUCUCCCCGAUCCAGAUCCGCCAUCCACCUCCAUCUCCCCUCGCCGUCGCCUCCCACCACGGCUCCCCGAUCCAGAUCCGCCAUCCACCUCCCUCUCCCCUCGCCGCCGCCUCCAUCUGCAAGCUGCGUGACGCCAGCCCCCGUGGAGUCACGCUACACCGCCCGCCCGCCGAGGAGGAGCCGCUCUCCGGCUCGACAACGGGGGCUGGCAAGCCGUGCAAGCGUCGGGCGUCCGUGAGCGGUGGCGGCGAGCGGCGGGUGAAGAAUCCCCUGCAGCAGCCGCAGCCGCAGCAGGUGCAGGGGCAGGGGCAGAGCGAGGCGGCGGGUGCCAUGGUGUUGGGCUCGUCGUCGAGGCACUAGGGGUCGCCCACGGCAUCGUCGAUGGCGGGCGGCGGCGGAUUGUCGUUCCGGCUGCGCAACUGGACGGCGGGCGACGACACGAAUAUGGCAUUCAUGGGGUUGUCGCCCAUGGCCUGGCCGAUGGCCGACUGGUUCAACACGAGGGUGAUGUUGAACGAGCGCAGGUGGUCCGCAGGCCCGACGCCGCUGAGCAUCAGCAGUUGCGGGCUGCCCAUGGCGCCCGCCGAGAGGAUGAUCUUGUUGCGGCGGCCGGUGUUGAGGUACGCCUUUUGCAUGUGCCCCUGGAGUCGUGGACUGGAUGAGCGCGUCAUCCAGUCCAAAUCCUUCGAGAACUUCACGUACCCCUACUUCUCCAUGGAGGCGCUGCUCAACAUGAUGGCAGAGUUCCCCGUCAACCUGCUGCCUCGGCACGACAACGACUCCAGGUCUGCCUGCAGGAGAAGAGGUGACUGAUUAGCUAUUUAUCUUAGCCCUCCUCCUCUUGUCUCCUGGCUGCAAUUUGUUAUGCACUGUAGAUAUUAUUGGCCACCCUGAUUUAUUUUCCCUUCAUGAGCACAUUUGGAGCUCUCUGUUGAGCUUAUUUAUUUGGUUUGGUUUGCUUCCAAACGGGGAAUAUGCGUAGAAAACUUGGGCUGAGCAUCGAGAAAUACACAACAAGUUCGUCUCACCAACUACAGCAGCAAAUUAUAACUAGAUACAUGAAGCCGAAAAUGACCGUGUCAGCAACGGACAAAUACAUGUAUCACCAGUGCAUUCACAUUACAAAUGCCUGGCCUAGUCUUGUAGAAUGGUUAGAUUCUAUAUUCACUUGAACGAACCUUUUUUUUGUUCCUAUAUAUAAGACGGUUCAACUUAACUUUACAAGGUAACAGUAAAUUUCAGACCGCGUGAAACAAAGCAAAAGGCUGUUACAACGGUACUGUUCAGUGCAUUUAAUUCCGAGUAAUAUGACGUAUCCUUAUCACCUUUGAUUUUGCAAUUUGUGCUGUUGCAAACUACUACUCUGUAUGCCUAUUCACCUUUGCCAUGUUACAUGAUUCUUUUCUCCAUGUAUCCAGCAUUAUCAAUGUUGCUCUUGAUGCUCAUGUUUUAACUUUGUAGUACAGUACCCACGGUUAUACAGCAGCCAUCCACUACCAUAAACAACUCAACCCUUGCCAAGACACUAGCGGAAUAUGCUGCUGCCGUAAGUCUGUUCGCCCUUUCUUGUCCUAGUUAUUCUGAAUAUUAGUUCGACAUUCAGUGUUACAUUAGUUUGUCAAAUUCUUUCUGCUAUCUUAGGAAGUCCCAACAAAAUUAUGUUGGAAAUAUGCCCUAGAGGCAAUAAUAAAAUGGUUAUUAUCAUUAUUUCCUUGUUCAUGAUAAUCGUCUAUUGUUCAUGCUAUAAUUGUAUUAACAGGAAACAUUAAUACAUGUGUGAAUAGAUAUAUCACAAUGUGUCCCUAGCAAGCCUCUAGUUGGCUAGCUCGUUAGUCAAUAGAUGAUCAUGGUUUCCUCAUCAUGGGCAUUAGAUGUCAUUGAUAACGGGAUCACAUCAUUGGAGAAUGAUGUGAUGGACAAGACCCAAUCCUGAGCAUAGCACUAGAUCGUAUUGUUCGUAUGCUAAAGCUUUUCUAAUGUCAAGUGUCUUUUCCUUCGAUCGUGAGAUUGUGCAACUCCCGGAUACCGUAGGAGUGCUUUGGGUGUAUCAAACGUCACAACGUAACUGGGUGACUAUAAAGGUGCACUACGGGUACCUCCGAAAGUGUCUGUUGGGUUGGUACGAAUCGAGAUCGGGAUUUGUCACUCCGUGUGACGGAGAGGUAUCUCUGGGCCCACUCGGUAGAACAUCAUCAUGAGCUCAAUGUGACUAAGGAGUUAGUCACACGAUGACGUGCUACGGAACGAGUAAAGAGACUUACCGGUAUCGAGAUUGAACAAGGUAUAGCUAUACCGACAAUCGAAUCUCGGGCAAGUUCUAUACCGACAGACAAAGGGAAUCGUAUACGGGAUUGAUUGAAUCCUUGACAUCGUGGUUCAUCCGAUGAGAUCAUCGUGGAGCAAGUGGGAGCCACCAUGGGUAUCCAGACCCCGCUGAUGGUUAUUGGCCAGAGAGGUGUCUCGGUCAUGUCUGCUUGUCUCCCGAACCCGUAGGGUCUACACACUUAAGGUUCGAUGACGCUAGGGUCAUAGGGAAUCGUUAUACGAGGUUACCGAAAGAUGUUUGGAGUCCCAGAUGAGAUCCCGGACGUCACGAGGAGCUCCGGAAUGGUCCGAAGGUAAAGAUUGAUAUAUAGGACGGAUGGUUUCGGACACCGGAAGUGUUUCGGGCAUCACUGGUAACGUACCGGGACCACCGGAGGUGGCCCCGGGGGACCACCGAAGGGGGGCAACGACCCCGGGUGGUAAGGUGGGCCAAGUGGGGGUGGGAACCAGCCCCUAGGUGGGCUGGUGCGCCUCCCCACUCAGCCCAAUGCGCAGGGGAGAGAAAAAGGGGGGCAAACCCUAAGCCAGGUGUGCCUAAGGCCCACCAGAUGGUGCGCCACCCCCACCUCCCCCCUCUGGCCGCCGCACCUCCCAUCUAGGGGGGCUGCCGCACCCCCUAGGGUGGGAAACCUAGGGGUGGCACCCCCUCUCCCCUCCCCCUAUAUAUAUCGGGCACUUUUGGCCAUUGAGAGACAGACUUUUCCCUCUCCCUCGGCGCAGCCCUGCUCUUCUUUCUGGUCCUCUCUGCCGGUGCUUGGCGAAGCCCUGCCGGGAGACCUCGUCUCUCCAUCGACACCACGCUGUCGUGCUGCUGGAGUUCUUCCCCAACCUCUCCCUCCUCCUUGCUGGAUCAAGGUGUGGGAGACGUCACCGGGCUGCACGUGUGUUGAACGCGGAGGUGCCGUAGUUCGGCACUAGAUCGGAAUCGUUGCGAGUACGACUCCAUCAACCACGUUCUAGCAACGCUUCUGCUUAGCGAUCUUCAAAGGUAUGAAGAUGCUCUUACCCCUCUCUCGUUGCUGGUCUCUCCAUAGGAAGAUCUGAAUAUGCGUAGGAAAAUUUUGAAUUUAUGCUACGUUACCCAACAGUGGCAUCCGAGCCAGGUUUUCUAUGCAUAGAUUCUAUGCACGAGUAGAACACCAAAGUUGUGGGCGAUGAUUUGUCAACUUGCUUGCCGCUACUAGUCUUAUUAUUUUCCGGCGGUAUUGUGGGAUGAAGCGGCCCGGACCGACUUUACACGUACGCUUACGUGAGACUGGUUCCACCGACAGACAUGCACACCGUGCAUAAAGGUGGCUAGCGGGUGUCUGUCUCUCCUACUCUAGUCGGAUUGGAUUUGAUGAAAAGGGUCCUUAUGAAGGGUAAAUAGCUUUGGCAUAUCAUCGUUGUGGCUGUCACGUAGGUAAGAAGGCGUUCUUGCUAGAAACCAAAAUCAACCACGUAAAACUUGCAACAACAAUUAGAGGACGUCUAACUUGUUUUUGCAGGGUUUGACAUGUGAUGUGACAUGGCCAAAGUUGUGAUGUUGCAUGUAUGAUGUAUGAGAUGAUCAUGUUAUUGUAAUAGGUUUCACGACUUGCAUGUCGAUGAGUAUGACAACCGGCUGGAGCCAUAGGAGUUGUCUUAAUUUAUUGUAUGAGAUGCAACGCCAUGUGCUUACUACUUUUACUUCAUUGCUAACGGUUAGCUAUAGUAGUAGUGAUAGUAGUAGUUGGCGUGACGACUUCACGGAGACACGAUGAUGGAGAUCAUGAUGAUGGAGAUCAUGGUGUCACGCCGGUGACGACGAUGAUCAUGCGAUGCCUGAAGAUGGAGAUCGAAAGAGCAAAUAUGAUAAUGGCCAUAUCAUGUCACUAUAUGAUUGCAUUGUGAUGUUUAUCAUGUUUUACAUAUUAUUGCUUAGAACGAAGGUAGCAUAAUAAGAUGAUCCCUCUUAAAAUUUCGAGAACGUAUUCCCCUAAGUGUGCACCGUUGCGAAGGUUUAUUGUCUCGAAGCACCACGUGAUGAUCGGGUGUGAUAGAUUCUAACGUUCGCAUACAACGGGUGCAAGCUAGAUUUACACACGCGAAACACCUAGGUUGACUCGACGAGCUUAGCAUGUACAGACAUGACCUCGAAUACAAGAGACCGAAAGGUCGAACAUGAGUCGUAUGGUUGAAUACGAUCAGCAUGGAGUUGCUCACCAUGGUGACUAGUCCGUCUCACGUGAUGAUCGGACACGGGUUAGUCAACAUGGAUCAUGUAUCACUUAGAUGACUAGAGGGAUGUUGAUUUAAGUGGGAGUUCAUACUUAAUUUGAUUAAAUGAACUUAAUUGUCAUGAACUUAGUCUAAAAAGUUGUCUUUAUAAAUAUUGUAGAUGUCCAACGUCAACCUCAAUUUCAACGCAUUCCUAGAGAAAAACAAGUUGAAAGAUGAUGGUAGCAACUAUGCGGACUGGGUUCGCAACUUGAAGCUCAUCCUUGAAGCAGCUAAAAAGGCUUAUGUCCUUGAUGCGCCGCUAGGUGACCCUCCCGCCCCCGCAGCAGCCCAGGACAUUCUGAACGUCUGGCAAACGCGGAGUGAUGAUUACUCUCUGGUUAGGUGUGGCAUGUUAUACAGUUCAGAAACGGGGCUCCAAAGGCGUUUUGAGAAACACGGGGCAUAUGAGAUGUUCAAGGAGCUGAAGCUAGUUUUUCAAGCUCAUGCCCGUGUCGAGAGAUAUGAAGUCUCUGACAAGUUCUUUAGCUGUAAGAUGGAGGAGAACAUUUCUGCCAGUGAGCACAUACUCAAAAUGUCUGGGUUACACGGUCGUCUGACUUCACUUGGAGUCGAACUUCCGGAUGAUGCUAUAAUUGACAGAAUCCUCCAGUCUCUCCCACCAAGCUACAAAGGCUUUGUGCUUAACUACAACAUGCAAGGGAUGGAUAAGACCAUUCCCGAGUUGUACUCGAUGCUCAAGUCUGCAGAAGUAGAAAUCAAGAAAGAGCAUCAAGUGUUGAUGGUCAACAAGACCACUAGUUUCAAGAAAGGCAAGGGUAAGAAGAACUUCAAGAAAGACGGCAAAGCUGUUGCCGCGCCUGGUAAGCCAGAUGCCGGGAAGAAGAAAAAGAACGGACCCAAGCCUGAGACUGAGUGCUUCUAUUGCAAGGGAAAGGGUCACUAGAAGCGGAACUGCCCCAAAUACUUAGCGGACAAGAAGGCCGGCAACGUUAAAGGUAUAUGUGAUAUACAUAUUAUUGAUGUGUACCUUACCAGCGCUCGUAGUAGCUCCUGGGUAUUUGAUACCGGUGCUGUUGCUCACAUUUGCAACUCAAAGCAGGAACCGCGGAAUAAGCGGAGACUGGCCAAGGACGAGGUGACGAUGCGCGUCGGGAAUGGUUCAAAGGUCGAUGUGAUCGCCGUCGGCACGCUACCUCUACAUCUAACAUCGGGAUUAGUUUUAAACCUUAAUAAUUGUUAUUUAGUACCAGCUUUAAGCAUGAACAUUGUAUCAGGGUCUUGCUUAAUGCGAGACGGCUACUCAUUUAAGUCAGAGAAUAAUGGUUGUUCUAUUUAUAUGAGUGAUAUGUUUUAUGGUCAUGCUCCGCUGGUGAAUGGUUUGUUCUUGAUGAAUCUCGAUCGUGAUGUUACACAUAUUCAUAGUGUGAGUACCAAAAGAUGUAAAGUUGAUAAUGAUAGUCCCACAUACUUGUGGCACUGCCGCUUUGGUCACAUCGGCGUUAAGCGCAUGAAGAAGCUCCAUACUGAUCGACUAUUAGAGUCUCUUGAUUUUGAAUCAUUUGACACAUACGAACCGUGCCUCAUGGGCAAGAUGACUAAGACUCCAUUCUCAGGAAUAAUGGAGAGAGCAACCGACUUAUUGGAAAUAAUACAUACUGAUAUGUGUGGUCCAAUGAACGUUGAAGCUCGCGGUGGUUAUCGUUAGGUUCUCACUCUCACCGAUGAUUUGAGUAGGUAUGGGUAUAUCUACUUGAUGAAGCACAAAUCUGAGACGUUUGAAAAGUUCAAGGAAUUUCAGAAUGAGGUUGAGAAUCAACGUGACAGAAAAAUUAAAUGUCUACGAUCUGAUCGUGGAGGAGAAUAUUUGAGUCGCGAGUUUGGAACAGACCUAAGGAAGUGUGGAAUCGUUUCACAACUGACGCCGCCUAGCACACCGCAACGCAAUGGAGUGUGUGAACGUCGUAAUCGCACUUUAUUAGAUAUGGUACGAUCUAUGAUGUCUCUUACCGACUUACCGCUAUCAUUUUGGGAUACGCAUUAGAAACUGCAGCAUUCACUUUAAAUAGGGCAGCGUCUAAAUCCGUUGAGACGACACCGUAUGAUCUACGGUUUGGCAAGAAACCUAAGUUGUCGUUUCUUAAAGUUUGGGGCUGCAAUGCUUAUGUGAAGAAACUUCAACCAGAAAAGCUCGAACCCAAAACGGAGAAAUGCGUAUUCAUAGGAUACCCUAAGGAAACUAUUGGGUAUACCUUCUAUCUUAGAUCUGAAGGUAAAACCUUUGUUGCCAAGAACGGAUCCUUUCUAGAGAAAGAGUUUCUCUCGAAAGAAGUAAGUGGGAGGAAGGUAGAACUUGAUGAGGUAAUUACACCCCCUCUCGAAUAGGAUAGUAGCGCAGCACGGGAAGUUGUUCCUGUGGCGCCUACACCGACUGAAGAGGAAGUUAAUGAUGAUAAUCAUGAAGCUUCGGAUCAAGUUACUACUGAACCGCGAAGGUCCACAAGGGCACGCUCCGCACCAGAGUGGUACGGCAACCCUGUGAUGGAAAUCAUGUUGUUAGACAACGGUGAACCUUCAAACUAUGAAGAAGCGAUGGCGGGCCAGGAUUCCAACAAAUGGCUUGAGGCUAUGAAAUCCGAGAUAGGAUCCAUGUAUGAGAACAAAGUAUGGACUUUGGUGGACUUGCCCGAUGACCGGCGAGCCAUAGAAAAUAAAUGGAUCUUCAAGAAGAAGACUGAUGCAAACGGUAAUGUAACCGUUUACAAAGCUCGACUUGUCGCAAAGGGUUUUCGACAAAUUCAAGGAGUUGACUACGAAGAGACUUUCUCUCCCAUAACGAAGCUGAAAUCAGUCCGAAUCAUGUUAGCAAUUGCCGCCUUUUAUGAUUAUGAAAUUUGGCAAAUGGACGUCAAAACAACGUUCCUUAACGGGAACCUUAAGGAAGAGUUGUAUAUGAUGCAACCAGAAGGUUUUGUCGACCCUAAGGGUGCUAACAAAGUGUGCAAGCUCCAGCGCUCCAUCUAUGGGCUGGUGCAAGCAUCUCGGAGUUGGAACAUUCGCUUUAAUGAGGUGAUUAAAGUGUUUGGGUUCAUACAGGUUUAUGGAGAAGCCUGUCUGUACAAGAAAGUGAGUGGGAGCUCUGUAGCUUUCCUCAUACUGUAUGUGGAUGACAUAUUAUUGAUGGGGAAUAAUAUAGAGACGUUGGAGAGCAUAAAGGCCUAUUUGAACAAGAGUUUUUCAAUGAAGGACCUUGGAGAAGCUGCAUACAUAUUAGGCAUCAAGAUCUAUAGAGAUAGAUCGAGACGCCUCAUAGGACUUUCGCAAAGUACAUACCUUGACAAGAUAUUGAAGAAGUUCAAUAUGGAAAACUCAAAGAAAGGGUUCUUCCAGUUUUGCAAGGUAUGAGAUUGAGUAAGACUCAGCCGCCGACCACGGCAGCAGAUAGAGAGAAGAUGACUUUUGUCCCCUACGCUUCAGCCGUGGGCUCUCUAAUGUAUGCCAUGCUGUGUACCAGACCUGAUAUAAACCUUGCCAUAAGUUUGGUAGGGAGGUACCAAAGUGAUCCCGAUAUGGAACACUGGACAGCGGUCAAGAAUAUCCUUAAGUACCUGAAAAGGACUAAGGAAAUGUUUCUCGUUUAUGGAGGUGACGAAGAGCUCGUCGUAAAGGGUUACGUCGACGCUAGCUUCGACACAGAUCCGGAUGACUCUAAGUCACAGACCGGAUACGUAUAUGUGUUGAAUGGUGGGGCAGUGAGCUGGUGCAGUAGCAAGCACGAAGUCGUGGCAGAAUCUACAUGUGAAGCGGAGUACAUAGCUGCUUCAGAAGCAGCUCAUGAAGGAAUUUGGAUGAAGGAGCUCAUCACCGACCUUGGAGUGGUUCCAAGCGCGUCGGGUCCAAUGACACUCUUCUGUGAUAACACUGGAGCCAUUGCCAUAGCCAAGGAGCCCAGGUUUCACCGGAAGACGAAGCACAUCAAACGCCGCUACAACUCCAUCCAGGACCAUGUCCAGAGUGGAGUGAUAGAUAUUUGUAAAGUACACACGGAUCUGAAUAUUGCAGACCCGUUGACUAAACCUCUUCCACGAGCAAAACAUGAUCAACACCAUAAUGUUAUGGGUGUUCGAUACAUCACAAUGUAACUAGAUUAUUGACUCUAGUGCAAGUGGGAGACUAUUGGAAAUAUGCCCUAGAGGCAAUAAUAAAAUGGUUAUUAUCAUAUUUCCUUGUUCAUGAUAAUCGUCUAUUGUUCAUGCUAUAAUUGUAUUAACAGGAAACAGUAAUACAUGUGUGAAUAGAUAGAUCACAAUGUGUCCCUAGCAAGCCUCUAGUUGGCUAGCUCGUUAGUCAAUAGAUGAUCAUGGUUUCCUGAUCAUGGGCAUUAGAUGUCAUUGAUAACGGGAUCACAUCAUUGGAGAAUGAUGUGAUGGACAAGACCCAAUCCUGAGCAUAGCACUAGAUCGUAGUGUUCGUAUGCUAAAGCUUUUCUAAUGUCAAGUAUCUUUUCCUUCGACCGNNNNNNNNNNNNNNNNNNNNNNNNNNNNNNNNNNNNNNNNNNNNNNNNNNNNNNNNNNNNNNNNNNNNNNNNNNNNNNNNNNNNNNNNNNNNNNNNNNNNGUUUUCGGAGUUCACCGGGGGGGGGCAGCCCACCCCGGGGAAGCCCAUAGGCCUUGGGGGUGGCACACCAGCCCUUGGUGGGCUGGUGGGACAACCCAAGAAGGCCCUAUGCGCCAUAGAUAGAAAAUCAAAGAGAAAAGAAAAAAAAGGAGGUGGGAAGGAAGAGAAGGACUCCACCUUCCAAUCCUAGUUGGACUAGGAUUGGAGGACUCCUCCUCCCCUUGGUGUGCAGCCCUUGGGGCUCCUUGAGCCUCAAGGCAAGCCUCCCCUCCCUCCUCCUAUAUAUAUGGAGCUAUUAGGGCUGAUUUGAGACAACUUUGCCACGGCAGCCCGACCACAUACCUCCACGGUUUUUCCUCUAGAUCGCGUUUCUGCAGAGCUCGGGCGGAGCCCUGCUGAGAUUAGAUCACCACCAACCUCCGAAGCGCCGUCACGCUGCCGGAGAACUCAUCUACCUCUCCGUCUCUAUUGCUGGAUCAAGAAGGCCGAGAUCAUCGUCGAUAUGUACGUGUGCUGAACGCGGAGGUGCCGUCCGUUCGGCACUAGAUCGUGGGACGGAUCGCGGGACGGUUCGUGGGACGAUUCGUGGGGCGGAUCGAGGGACGUGAGAACGUUUCACUACAUCAACCGCGUUUCUUAACGCUUUUGCUGUGCGAUCUACAAGGGUACGUAGAUCGGGAAUCCCCUCUCGUAGAUGGACAUCACCAUGAUAGGUCUUCGUGCGCGUAGGAAAAUUUUGUUUCCCAUGCGACGUUCCCCAACACAUAGUUCUACAAAAUUCUACCUUGGUGGCCCCGUAUACCAAUGAACACAAGAAUAUUCUACGCUCCAAACACCCGGAGCAGUCUGACGGCUAGAUUACAUGUGAAUACAUGAGGACUUUCAGCGGUUGGCUGCAAACACAUCUCAGGAGUAACAACAUUAUUGGAGAUGACCUGUACUUGUUGGCCACGAUACCAUCUUCGACUAUAUUGACUUUCCAAGGGUACGAGGGAAUACAUUUUACACAACCUCCCAAGAUAAAAAGAGCACCAACCAAAACAGUGGUGUACGCUUUGAUCAAGCAAACAUCAAUAGGGCAGAUGACACAUCAAGGUUACAUAGAGGAGAUAUGGGAACUUGACUAUGGGCGUGAUGAUUUUAAGGUCCCUUUGUUUCGGUGCAAAUGGGUCAAUCUGACAGGAGGCGGGUACAGGUAGACCCGCGGUACGGAAUGACAAUAGUGGAUCUCGACAAUCUUGGGUACACAGACGAACUAUUAGUCCUAGCCAAUAAUGUGGCGUAGGUUUUCUAUGUAAAGGACAUGUUUACCAAACCAAGAAAAAGAAAAGAUAAGAAAGUGAAUACAUCACACGAUGAGCCAAAGUACCACAUAGUUCUUUCAGGGAAAAGAAACAUCGUGGGAGUGGAGGACAAGACAGACAUGUCAGUAGAAUAUGAAAAAUUUCAUGAAAUUAUUGCCUUCACACUGAAGACUAACCCAAGCAUCCUCUUAAAUGAUGAAGAUUAUUCAUGGUUACGGUGCAAUAAGCAAGGGACAAACCGGAGGGAAUCUUAGCUAGGGCAUUUUGGCAUUUGAAACAUGAUUGUAGAAUAAUUAUUUAUUAAGUUAUGAUUUUUCAAUUAUUCAUGUCCUUUUAGUAUUCGAGAUAAGUCGCUCGAGGUUCGGAAGAGAUUGUCCAAUUUGUACACGAAGUGCACCCAGUUUUUGCCUUAACCCUCUCAACUAUUUAACACAUGCUAUGUGGGCGAAAUGAUGAUACCAUGCCAAAGUUCAACCUUUUCAGAGUUCAUUUGUAGUGCUUUUCAAUUUCAGGGUCAUUUAGCUCAAAAAAAUCAUUAAAUGCACGAAAAAUAGCAAAUGAAGUCAGAAAGGGUUGAAAAAUGAUGAAGUGGUUUUGAAUGGUGCAUAUCAAACGCACAAAAAGUCUGGAGUUGAAACAAGCUUAAAAAAUGAAAUGCCUUUGUAAGAGAUGAGUUUUCGUCCAAAACCCUCAUACUUCGAAAGAGGUUGUCCAGUUUGUACACGAAGUACAUCCAAUUUUUGUUGUAACCCUCUCAACUUUUUAGCACAUGCUAUAUGGGUGAAAUGAUGAUACCAUGUCAAAUUUCAACCUUUGCAGAGUUCAUUUGUAGUGUUUUUUAAUUUCAGGGUCAUUUAGCUCAAAAAACAUUAAAUGCAUGAAAAAUAGAAAAUGAAGUCACAAAGGGUUGAAAAUUGAUGACGUGGCUUUGAAUGGUGCAUAAAAAGGGUAAAUGGAGAAGUGGGUAGAAGCGCAACAAUCCAGGCUCGAAACUUGGGGGGGGGGCGCCCANNNNNNNNNNNNNNNNNNNNNNNNNNNNNNNNNNNNNNNNNNNNNNNNNNNNNNNNNNNNNNNNNNNNNNNNNNNNNNNNNNNNNNNNNNNNNNNNNNNNUUUAUGAAAUAUUGCACAUAGGAUGUCAAAACAGUGUUUCCUCGACGGUUUCCUUGAGCAAACAUUGUAUGUGAUACAACCAGGAGGUUUUGUCGAUCCUAAAGAUACUAGCAAGUAUGCAAGCUCCAGCGAUCCUUCAAUGGAGUGGUGCAAGCAUCUCGGAGUGGGAAUAUACACUUUGAUGAGAUGAUCAACAAUUUUGGGUUUGUACAAGGUUUAUGAGAAACUUGUAUUUCCAAAGAAGUGAUGGGAGCACUAUAGAAUUUCUGAUAAGUAUAUGUGGUUGACAUAUUGUGGAUCAGAAGUAAUGUAGAAUUUCUGUAAAGCAUACAAGGUUUUUUAAAAUGAGUUUUUCAAAGGAAUACCUGGAUUGCGCUACUUGAACGUUGAGCAUCAAAGAUCUAUGGAGAUAGAUCGAAAGCGCUUAAUAGAAGUUUCAACAAGAUGCAUGCCUUGACAAGUUUUUGAAGGAGUUCAAAAUAGAUCAGAAAAGAAGGAGUUCUUGGUUGCGUUGUAAGGUGUGAAUUUGAGUAAGACUCAAAACCCGACCCCGGCAGGAUAAAGAGAAUAGACGAAGGUCGUCUUCUAUGCCUUGGAUGUAGAAUCUGAAGUAUGCCAUGCUGGGUACCGCACCUGAUGUGUGCCUUGACUCAAAGUCUGCUGAGAGGUACACAGAGUGAUCCAUGAUUGAAUCACUAGCAGCGGUCAAAAUUUAUCCUCAGUAACUGAUGGACUAAGGAAAUUUUCUCGAUCAUGGAGGUGGUUAAAGAGUUCGUCGUAAAGGGUUACGUUGAUGCAAGCUUUGACACUAAUCCGAAUAGCUAUGAGUAGUGAAACGGAUUCGUAUAGUAGAGUAGAUAUUUGGAGCAUUUCCGAAUAGCACAUAGUAGCAGCAUCUAUAAGAUGACAUAAAGAUUUGUAAAGAACUCAUGGAUCUGAAAGUUUUCAGAACCGUUGACUAAAACCUCUCUCACGAGCAAGACGUGAUCAGACCCCAUAACUAUAUGGGUGUUGGAUUCGUUGGAAUCACAUGGUGAUGUGAACUAGAUUAUUGACUCUAUGCAAGUGGGAGACUGUUGGAAAUAUGCCCUAGAGGCAAUAAUAAAUUAGUUAUUAUUAUAUUUCUUUGUUCAUUAUAAUCGUUUAUUAUCCAUGCUAUAAUUGUAUUGAUUGGAAACACAGUGCAUGUGUGGAUACAUAGACAAAGCACUGUCCCUAGUAAGCCUCUAGUUGACUAGCUCGUUGAUCAAAGAUGGUCAAGGUUUCCUGACCAUAGGCAAGUGUUGUCACUUGAUAAUGGGAUCACAUCAUUAGGGGAAUCAUAUGAUGGACUAGACCCAAACUAAUAGACGUAGCAUGUUGAUCGUGUCAUUUUUGUUGCUACUGUUUUCUGCGUGUCAAGUAUUUGUUCCUAUGACCAUCAAAUCAUAUAACUCACUGACACCGGAGGAAUGAUUUGUGUGUAUCAAACGUCGCAACAUAACUGGGUGACUAUAGAGAUGCUCUACAGGUAUCUCCGAAGGUGUUCGUUGAGUUAGUAUGGAUCGAGACUGGGAUUUGUCACUCCGUGUGACGGACAGGUAUCUCGGGGCCCACUCGGUAAUACAACAUCAUGAGCUCAAUGUGACUAAGGAGUUAGUCACACGAUGACGUGCUACGGAACGAGUAAAGAGACUUACCGGUAUCGAGAUUGAACAAGGUAUAGCUAUACCGACAAUCGAAUCUCGGGCAAGUUCUAUACCGACAGACAAAGGGAAUCGUAUACGGGAUUGAUUGAAUCCNNNNNNNNNNNNNNNNNNNNNNNNNNNNNNNNNNNNNNNNNNNNNNNNNNNNNNNNNNNNNNNNNNNNNNNNNNNNNNNNNNNNNNNNNNNNNNNNNNNNUCCGCCUUCUCGCUAUCCGUCGGAUUUGAUACGAUCGAUCAACCAAAUUUCUUUCUCUAUUUUGCAAUAAAUGUGUUUUUACGGAAACAUUUGCAACACAACUUUUUUUGUGGUUUUUUUUGUAACACAGAUUGUAUUGCUGGAUUUUUUUGGCAACAUAAGUCGUAUUGCGGGGGUUUUUUUUUUGCAACAUCGAUCGUGUUGCAUAAUUUUUUUGUCAUCCUUAGUCCGAGCCGCUAUGAAAUCUAGUCCCUGUUCAUUUUGCAACAACGGGCUAGUUGCAAAAUCAUUUUCUGAAACAAUGAACCAAUUGCAGCGCUGACACUGAAAGAUUAACGUCGAACCGUUGAUUAAGAGUCAUCCAACGGACACAAAGAUGACGAACGCUCACAUUGCGUCGGCCCGGUAAUUAUUUCCCAUGAAAAGAAACUAGACAUGUAUUGAAAAACUCAAACCCAAUGAAAACCGACAAAAGAAACAAAAAAGGAAAGCGAAGAAACCAAAUAAACGGAAGAAAGCAAAGCAAGAAGCAGAACAUGGCAUGGCGCGUAUCAUCACAAUGUGCCUGACUUUUUCGGAAACCCUAUUUAGCGCUACAGGCGCCGGUUGCAGGCAAAAUUUGCUAACUGGCGCCUGCAGCGCUCCGCAAUGGGCCGGCCCAUGUAGAGGUCCUUCAUGAACCUUUUUUAGCCCGUGAACUUUUUUUGAAACCGGUGAACUUUUCUGAAAUCAAUGAUUUUAUUUGGAAAUUCGUGAGCAUUUUCGAAAAUCAACGAAAGUAACUUAAAUGCAUGAACUUUAAAAAUCAGUGAACUGUUUAAAAACUGAUGAACUUUUUUCNNNNNNNNNNNNNNNNNNNNNNNNNNNNNNNNNNNNNNNNNNNNNNNNNNNNNNNNNNNNNNNNNNNNNNNNNNNNNNNNNNNNNNNNNNNNNNNNNNNNAAGCUUGAACAACCUUUCAAUGUCAUACCUCUAAAAUAGUAUCUAUAAUCGGGGAAGUGUUGGCGUAUGCGACUAAGGGCCUAAAAAAGAAGGAUAAGUCCACCUGGAAGGGGGUAUGCAACUAGAGGGUCUAAACAAGGAGAGGUCCAACUAGAAGGCUGCAUGCAUAUAUGCUCACGGCUUAAACAUCAUGGAAUCAACUGAAUGAAUAACAUGGCCUUCAAUCAAAAUUUCUCCUUGCAUGACGAUGUUGUCACUGAAUGCUGAUGAUGCAAGGUGCUGAAAGUUGGCUCGAUUGACAAAAUGCACUUGGAGAUCUCUUCAAUCCACCCGAUUACCCAAGCUUCCGCUUCUUUAGAGGUUAGCUGUGUACCUUCAAUUCCUAGUUUUUCUUGGUUCUAAAACAUAAUUCCUUUUUAUUAUUUAUUUCUUGUUUAUAGAUAAGCUAUAUGUUAGUCUAGCUCAUGCUUGGGUGGUGCAGCACUUGGUCCUUGAACCUCGCCUCGAUGCAUUUUCUCCAACCCCUUCUUACCUCAAAAAAGNNNNNNNNNNNNNNNNNNNNNNNNNNNNNNNNNNNNNNNNNNNNNNNNNNNNNNNNNNNNNNNNNNNNNNNNNNNNNNNNNNNNNNNNNNNNNNNNNNNNAGAUCAGAGGUGGAAAACUAAUAAUAAAGGAUCUGAGCAUAAUUUCUUCCACCAAGUAAUCCAACAAGCAUCAACUACAAGAUGUAAUCAACACAACUAGUAACCCACAUGUACCAAUCCGAGGUUUUAAGACAAAGAUUGAAUACAAUAGAUGAAUUAGAGUUGGAGAUGAGAUGGUGCUGGUGAAGAUCUUGAUGAAGGUUGGUCCUCCCACGAAGGAGGAAGCAUUGGUGAUGAAAAUGGCUUUGAUUUCCCCCUUCCGGAGGGAAGUUUCCCCGACAGAAUCUCUCAGCGGGAGAGAAAAGGCCCCUGCCAUGGUUUCCGCCUCAGUACGGCGGCACUUUAUCCUGAAAGGUAUCUUAUGUUUUUUUGCCUUUUUCUCAGUUUCCCGGUCCAGAAUUCCAGUUUACAGAUAUUUCCCUCUUUAUGGUAAACCUUGCAUAUUCAAAGAGAAAGAACAUAAGAAUUAUACGAUAAUAGGGAAAAAUGUACAAGAAUAAAACAAAUAUCAAUAAUAAUUCAUGAUGCAAAAUGGAUGUAUCAACUCCCCCAAGCUUAGACCUCGCUUGUACUCAAGCGAAAGCCGAACUCGAAAAUAAUGACCACAUGAUUUGAUAGAGAGGUGUCAAUAAAAACAAAAUACGAACAUGAGAGCAUCAUGAAUAUUAGCAAAGCAGCAAGUAUUUUAUCAUAUAGUUCCUCAUAAACAAGUAAUAAUCCAUUCACAACUAUUGGAGUAAGAAACAUAAACUUUAUUGACAAUCAACAAAGUAUGUUCUCAGUCAUUGGGACAAUCAUAAUUCAUCAUAUUUCAAAGGAGAGUCUAUGUAAGAGCUUUCUUUUUGGCAAGUUCACAUACUCAACUAUCAUUUAGUCUUUUGUGACCCUGUUUGGAACCACAAUAGAUUAUGAUAAUCUGGAUUAUGAAGAUAGAUUAUGUAAUUAGGUUUAAAAAAUAAUCUAGGUGGACAUGUUUGGAGGCCAGAUUAUAUAAACUGUAAUCCAGAUUUUAACAUUGCAUAAUAACCUGUGUGUCCUGUGCGCGCGCUAAGGAGAAAAAAAGAGGAGGGUGGCGGUGGCAGAAAUUAGUAAUUACCUCCAACUUUACAAGGAUAAUGCGUCAUUAGCAAUCCAUAAUCUGGUUUUAUCUGGGGUAGAGUAGAUUGUGAGUUUUUAAUAAUUUGUCCAUCUAGUUUUAAUAAUCUACAACAUAAUCUGUCAUGUUUGGAGACAUUAUAAAUUAUAAAAACUGGAUUAUCAUAAUCUGAGUGGUUCCAAACAGGGCCUAUGAUUGCUCACACUCAAGACAUAUUUUUGGGGCUCAUGUUUCCAUAGCACACAUAGGAAUAUAGGGGCAUAAAUGAUUUGCCACCCAACUUAUCUACCUCAAGUAUAAUGUCAACAACAUGUGUCAUGAUCAUCUACAUCCACUUGGAUAUAUAUGUCUCGAUCUUUCCUCAACAUGUGUUGCCUGCCAGUAUAGAGUUAAUAGGUAGGAAGAGGAAUAAACUUUAUUGACUCACACACAGGAAUGAACACCUGAAGAUAAAAGAUAGGCCAUUCACAGAGGGAAACAUAUGUUGUCAUGCACUUUUAAAUUUUUGGAUGUGCACACUCUUAAUGCAAAUGAACGCUACUUUAUAUUGCCCCUUGUGAUAGCAAACUUUAUUAUGGAGUCCAUCGCUCUUAUUUCUUUGACAUCACAAGAUAGUACAAAGCUUAUCUUCCCUUACAAUAGAAGAUCAUAUAUCUUUAGGAGCAAUUUAUUUAUUGCUUGAUGCACCGAUGGAAGCUUACUUGAAGGAUCAUACCCAAUCCAUAGGUAGGUAUGGUGGACUCUCAUCGCAGAGACUGGGUUUCAGGGUUAUGGAUGCACAAGUAGUAUCUCUACUUAGUGUGGAAUUUUUGGGCUAGAAAUAAUCUAAAGCAAGCACCACAUGUUAAAGGAUCCACAACCAUAUAACUUCUGUGUGAAUGUAAACUGUCAUAAACAUUAUGUUGUCUUCCAUGUCCAACAUUAACACUUGAUCAUUAUAUAAUAUUUGGUGAGGGCUCACAAUCAUAAGAGAUGUACAAGAUAGUGUAUUUAUAUUUGAGUCUUCUCUCCUUUAUCAUAAUCUUUCUUAGAUUGCAUCAAUGACUAAUACUAUGUUUGUUUACUAUCAACAACUUUUAUCACUUAUACCCUUUUUCGUGUGAAGUCAUUAAUUCUCAUGAGAUAAGCAUAUGAUCUUUCUAUUUAUUUUUAUUGCCAUGCUAUGAUGAUGGGUGCAUACAAGUAAAGCACACAAGCUCAACUAACCUUUAUUACAUAACUCUCAUAAUAGAUUACUAGGAUAGAUGGAUCUCAAAGCAAAAAUUCUAAGCAAAGCAAAUCUGAAAUUUAUUUCUCUAAAUCACGAAACAACUAAGGGUCGAAGUAAGAUAGAUGGUAAUGAUGGAAGUGAUGGUGAUAUGAUACCAGGGCACCUCCCUCAAGCUUGGAACAAGCUAAGGGUGGUGCCCAUACCCAUGUACUCACACGUCCCUCUCAGGUGAUGAUGGUGAUGAUGCGGCAGGUUGGUCUUCCGCCUUCCAAGGCAUUGGCUAACCAUCAUAGAAAGAAAAACUUGUCUCCGGGACCCUUAAAUGAGUAGCAAUGCUCAUCCUCUUAAACCUCAAUCCAUACUCACAGUUUUGGCUUUCGAGGUCAAAGAUUUGAGCUUGAAGGUAUUCAAUCUGCUAUUGAAGCUUGCAUGCNNNNNNNNNNNNNNNNNNNNNNNNNNNNNNNNNNNNNNNNNNNNNNNNNNNNNNNNNNNNNNNNNNNNNNNNNNNNNNNNNNNNNNNNNNNNNNNNNNNNGUUGACAACUAAUUCAAACGAGGCACGGAAUAAAUCCUACGAAUUAAGCAAAAGGGCAUCACGGCAAAAUAUCUCGCGAACUAACUCCCUCAAAAGCUGAAACUAAUUGCACAGAAAAAUCCCUGGGAUUUUUCUACCCCGGUAACAUAUAUAAUAUGUGAGGUUUGCAACACAAAAUAACGCCACACAAUAAAGCGGGAGAAUAACCUAUAUACGGGAAAAACAACUACCGGCAAUCCCCUACAUGUAAAAAUACAAUCGACCCCUCUAGAAUACAUAGAAAUAUGGUCCCUAACACAUGGACAUUUUAUCUACGGCAUACGGGCAAAUCAAACACGCGCGGAAAUAACUACGGGCAACAAACCUAUCUGGACAGCACGUAAAACUAGGCAUUUGGCGCGUUAAACUAGCUCAAAUAAUUAUGCAAGUUUUUAUAAACGGGUCCUACGCGAAAAGUUACACGAAAAGCAUAUAAAGAACAACGCGAUCCGACUCACGGAUCAAAAGAUACAUGCGUUUGAAAUCUAGUCUAAACUCUGAAAAGAAUAAAAACACAGGAAUAUAUAAAAACCCUACACGGGCCGAAUCUGAUGCUAAAUGGGCCUACAGCGCAUGGGCGUUACAUAAAAUAAAAUGCACACGGGUGAGGGCUCUCACCUCGGCCACUUGGGCCGGCCUGGAGAGAGGGGCAGCCGGACUGGUCGGCUCGGGCCGGCUUGGAGGCGGCGGGAGUUGGGCCGCGGCCUGGAGAGCGGAGAAGCCAGCUGGGCCUGGCGAGCUGGGCCGAGGGGAGGUGGGCCUCGAUCGGUGGCCAGCCCAGGAACGAUGGAGGUCGUCCUCCUCCUCCCGUGCGGGCGUUCGAGGGAGGCGCCCAUGGCGGCCGGCAGCAUCCUCGGCGAGGGAGCGACGAGGGAGGGCGCCGGUCUAGGGGAACCGGCUGUUCCCACCAGAUCCGGCCGGUUCGGGUCCAUUCCCGGCCGCGUCGAGGCUUGAGGCGGCGGCUGCAAGGUCAGGCGGCGGCGCGAUGGGUUGCAGCAACGUUGACCUUCCUCGGGGCGGCGCUGCAGGCAGAGAACUGGGCAGUUAGACGGCGAGGAGCCGCGGGCUCGGCUCUCCGGCAAGGUCCAUGGCGGCGGCGGUGGCACACCCGACGGCGGGGCGAGGCCGCGGGACCUGGUCGAUCUGCUGCCUCCGGGCGAGCUCGGGAGGAGCGGCAGCGCGAUUCGGGCCGAGGGCGGGCCUGCUGCGGGCUUGGGCGGGCCCGGCGGUGCUGGCAGGGGAGAGAGAGGUGGGGCGGCGCGGCUAGGGUUUCGGGCGCGGACAAUGAGGCAGGUUUAGGGGGAGGCUGUCCGAAAAUUAGAAGGGGUCUAUAUAUAGGCAAACCGGGGGGCUCGGUUGACCGGAAUUUCGUUCCGGAUCCAACCGCGGGGUCGGAUUCGGACGACUCCGAACGCGGGAACGGGUACCCGGCCGUGUAGAGGGGUAUCCGGAGACGAGAGGGAGAACGGGCGAUGCGGCACGAAUUUAAAAACAUCAACAAACGUCCGACGAAUAACAGAAGACGGUGCUGCUACGGGCGACCGUUCGGGUACCAGACGGUCUCCGAUCGCGACGAAAUUCGACGGGCGGCCUCGCUAUAACUAAUCACGACCGCACGUCAAAUCUCAACCCGAUCAGAGAAAGUUUUAAACGCACUUUAAAAACAGGGUUUCGACGGUGCCGCGGGCGCGUGCGUGUGCGGUCGGACUCAGAACGGACAACGGCGUGAACCGGCAACUACUAACGAAUGGAAGUUUUGAAAACGGGCGGCAACGAAGAUGCCGAUGCAAUGCAGAUGAUGCGCAUGAUGCGAUGAUGAUGCGGCAACUGAAAAUACGCACACGACGAAAACGGAAAGAAAAGGGGAAGCUUCUGGAACGUCGGUCUCGGGCUGUCACACUAUGGCAAUGGCCCCAGUGUUAUCACAGAAGAGUGUCAUUGGACCCGACGCGCUUGGAACCACUCCAAGGUCGGUGAUGAGCUCCUUCAUCCAAAUUCCUUCGCGAGCUGCUUCUGAAGCAGCUAUGUAUUCCGCUUCACAUGUAGAUGCUGCCAUGACUUCUUGCUUGCUGCUGCACUAGCUCACUGCCCCACCAUUCAAAACAUAUACGUAUCCGGUCUGUGACUUAGAGUCAUCCGGAUCUGUGUCAAAGCUAGCGUCGACGUAACCUUUUACGACGAGCUCUUCGUCACCUCCAUAAACGAGAAACAUCUCCUUAGUCCUCUUCAGGUACUUAAGGAUAUUCUUGACCACUGUCCAAUGUUCCAUACCGGGAUCACUUUGGUACCUCCCUACCAAACUUAUGGCAAUGUUUAUAUCAGGUCUGGUACACAGCAUGGCAUACAUUAGAGAGCCUACGGCUGAAGCGUAGGGGACAAUACUUGUCUUCUCUCUAUCUGCUGCCGUGGUCGGUGACUGAGUCUUACUCAAUCUCAUACCUUGCAAAACUGGCAAGAACCCUUUCUUUGAGUUUUCCAUAUUGAACUUCUUCAAUAUCUUGUCAAGGUAUGUACUUUGCGAAAGACCUAUGAGGCGUCUCGAUCUAUCUCUAUAGAUCUUGAUGCCUAAUAUGUAUGCAGCUUCUCCAAGGUCCUUCAUUGAAAAACUCUUGUUCAAAUAGGCCUUUAUGAUCUCCAACAUCUCUAUAUUAUUCCCCAUCAAUAAUAUGUCAUCCACAUACAGUAUGAGGAAAGCUACAGAGCUCCCACUCACUUUCUUGUAUAGACAGGCUUCUCUGUAAACCUGUAUGAACCCAAACGCUUUAAUCACCUCAUUAAAGCGAAUGUUCCAACUCCGAGAUGCUUGCACCAGCCCAUAGAUGGAGCGCUGGAGCUUGCACACUUUGUUAGCACCCUUAGGGUCGACAAAACCUUCUGGUUGCAUCAUAUACAACUCUUCCUUAAGGUUCCCGUUAAGGAACGUUGUUUUGACGUCCAUUUGCCAAAUUUCAUAAUCAUAAAAGGCGGCAAUUGCUAACAUGAUUCGGACUGAUUUCAGCUUCGUUAUGGGAGAGAAAGUCUCUUCGUAGUCAACUCCUUGAAUUUGUCGAAAACCCUUUGCGACAAGUCGAGCUUUGUAAACGGUUACAUUACCGUUUGCAUCAGUCUUCUUCUUGAAGAUCCAUUUAUUUUCUAUGGCUCGCCGGUCAUCGGGCAAGUCCACCAAAGUCCAUACUUUGUUCUCAUACAUGGAUCCUAUCUCGGAUUUCAUAGCCUCAAGCCAUUUGUUGGAAUCCUGGCCCGCCAUCGCUUCUUCAUAGUUUGAAGGUUCACCGUUGUCUAACAACAUGAUUUCCAUCACAGGGUUGCCGUACCACUCUGGUGCGGAGCGUGCCCUUGUGGACCUUCGCGGUUCAGUAGUAACUUGAUCCGAAGCUUCAUGAUUAUCAUCAUUAACUUCCUCUUCAGUCGGUGUAGGCGCCACAGGAACAACUUCCCGUGCUGCGCUACUAUCCUAUUCGAGAGGGGGUGUAAUUACCUCAUCAAGUUCUACCUUCCUCCCACUUACUUCUUUCGAGAGAAACUCUUUCUCUAGAAAGGAUCCGUUCUUGGCAACAAAGGUUUUACCUUCAGAUCUAAGAUAGAAGGUAUACCCAAUAGUUUCCUUAGGGUAUCCUAUGAAUACGCAUUUCUCCGUUUUGGGUUCGAGCUUUUCUGGUUGAAGUUUCUUCACAUAAGCAUUGCAGCCCCAAACUUUAAGAAACGACAACUUAGGUUUCUUGCCAAACCGUAGAUCAUACGGUGUCGUCUCAACGGAUUUAGACGCUGCCCUAUUUAAAGUGAAUGCUGCAGUUUCUAAUGCGUAUCCCAAAAUGAUAGCGGUAAGUCGGUAAGAGACAUCAUAGAUCGUACCAUAUCUAAUAAAGUGCGAUUACGACGUUCACACACUCCAUUGCGUUGCGGUGUGCUAGGCGGCGUCAGUUGUGAAACGAUUCCACACUUCCUUAGGUCUGUUCCAAACUCGCGACUCAAAUAUUCUCCUCCACGAUCAGAUCGUAGACAUUUAAUUUUCUGUCACGUUGAUUCUCAACCUCAUUCUGAAAUUCCUUGAACUUUUCAAACGUCUCAGAUUUGUGCUUCAUCAAGUAGAUAUACCCAUACCUACUCAAAUCAUCGGUGAGAGUGAGAACCUAACGAUAACCACCGCGAGCUUCAACGUUCAUUGGACCACACAUAUCAGUAUGUAUUAUUUCCAAUAAGUCGGUUGCUCUCUCCAUUAUUCCUGAGAAUGGAGUCUUAGUCAUCUUGCCCAUGAGGCACGGUUCGUAUGUGUCAAAUGAUUCAAAAUCAAGAGACUCUAAUAGUCGAUCAGUAUGGAGCUUCUUCAUGCGCUUAACGCCGAUGUGACCAAAGCGGCAGUGCCACAAGUAUGUGGGACUAUCAUUAUCAACUUUACAUCUUUUGGUACUCACACUAUGAAUAUGUGUAACAUCACGAUCGAGAUUCAUCAAGAACAAACCAUUCACCAGCGGAGCAUGACCAUAAAACAUAUCACUCAUAUAAAUAGAACAACCAUUAUUCUCUGACUUAAAUGAGUAGCCGUCUCGCAUUAAGCAAGACCCUGAUACAAUGUUCAUGCUUAAAGCUGGUACUAAAUAACAAUUAUUAAGGUUUAAAACUAAUCCCGAUGUUAGAUGUAGAGGUAGCGUGCCGACGGCGAUCACAUCGACCUUUGAACCAUUCCCGACGCGCAUCGUCACCUCGUCCUUGGCCAGUCUCCGCUUAUUCCGCGGUUCCUGCUUUGAGUUGCAAAUGUGAGCAACAGCACCGGUAUCAAAUACCCAGGAGCUACUACGAGCGCUGGUAAGGUACACAUCAAUAAUAUGUAUAUCACAUAUACCUUUAACGUUGCCGGCCUUCUUGUCCGCUAAGUAUUUGGGGCAGUUCCGCUUCUAGUGACCCUUUCCCUUGCAAUAGAAGCACUCAGUCUCAGGCUUGGGUCCGUUCUUUUCUUCUUCCCGGCAUCUGGCUUACCAGGCGCGGCAACAGCUUUGCCGUCUUUCUUGAAGUUCUUCUUACCCUUGCCUUUCUUGAAACUAGUGGUCUUGUUGACCAUCAACACUUGAUGCUCUUUCUUGAUUUCUACUUCUGCAGACUUGAGCAUCGAGUACAACUCGGGAAUGGUCUUAUCCAUCCCUUGCAUGUUGUAGUUAAGCACAAAGCCUUUGUAGCUUGGUGGGAGAGACUGGAGGAUUCUGUCAAUUAUAGCAUCAUCCGGAAGUUCGACUCCAAGUGAAGUCAGACGACCGUGUAACCCAGACAUUUUGAGUAUGUGCUCACUGGCAGAAAUGUUCUCCUCCAUCUUACAGCUAAAGAACUUGUCAGAGACUUCAUAUCUCUCGACACGGGCAUGAGCUUGAAAAACUAGCUUCAGCUCCUUGAACAUCUCAUAUGCCCCGUGUUUCUCAAAACGCCUUUGGAGCCCCGUUUCUGAACUGUAUAACAUGCCACACCUAACCAGAGAGUAAUCAUCACUCCGCGUUUGCCAGACGUUCAGAAUGUCCUGGGCUGCUGCGGGGGCGGGAGGGUCACCUAGCGGCGCAUCAAGGACAUAAGCCUUUUUAGCUGCUUCAAGGAUGAGCUUCAAGUUGCGAACCCAGUCCGCAUAGUUGCUACCAUCAUCUUUCAACUUGUUUUUCUCUAGGAAUGCGUUGAAAUUGAGGUUGACGUUGGACAUCUACAAUAUUUAUAAAGACAACUUUUUAGACUAAGUUCAUGACAAUUAAGUUCAUUUAAUCAAAUUAAGUAUGAACUCCCACUUAAAUCAACAUCCCUCUAGUCAUCUAAGUGAUACAUGAUCCAUGUUGACUAACCCGUGUCCGAUCAUCACGUGAGACGGACUAGUCACCAUGGUGAGCAACUCCAUGCUGAUCGUAUUCAACCAUACGACUCAUGUUCGACCUUUCGGUCUCUUGUAUUCGAGGUCAUGUCUGUACAUGCUAAGCUCGUCGAGUCAACCUAGGUGUUUCGCGUGUGUAAAUCUAGCUUGCACCCGUUGUAUGCGAACGUUAGAAUCUAUCACACCCGAUCAUCACGUGGUGCUUCGAGACAAUAAACCUUCGCAACGGUGCACACUUAGGGGAAUACGUUCUCGAAAUUUUAAGAGGGAUCAUCUUAUUAUGCUACCUUCGUUCUAAGCAAUAAUAUGUAAAACAUGAUAAACAUCACAAUGCAAUCAUAUAGUGACAUGAUAUGGCCAUUAUCAUAUUUGCUCUUUCGAUCUCCAUCUUCAGGCAUCGCAUGAUCAUCGUCGUCACCGGCGUGACACCAUGAUCUCCAUCAUCAUGAUCUCCAUCAUCGUGUCUCCGUGAAGUCGUCACGCCAACUACUACUAUCACUACUACUAUAGCUAACCGUUAGCAAUGAAGUAAAAGUAGUAAGCACAUGGCGUUGCAUCUCAUACAAUAAAUUAAGACAACUCCUAUGGCUCCAGCCGGUUGUCAUACUCAUCGACAUGCAAGUCGUGAAACCUAUUACAAUAACAUGAUCAUCUCAUACAUCAUACAUGCAACAUCACAACUUUGGCCAUGUCACAUCACAUGUCAAACCCUGCAAAACAAGUUAGACGUCCUCUAAUUGUUGUUGCAAGUUUUACGUGGUUGAUUUUGGUUUCUAGCAAGAACGCCUUCUUACCUACGUGACAGCCACAACGAUGAUAUGCCAAAGCUAUUUACCCUUCAUAAGGACCCUUUUCAUCAAAUCCAAUCCGACUAGAGUAGGAGAGACAGACACCCGCUAGCCACCUUUAUGCACGGUGUGCAUGUCUGUCGGUGGAACCAGUCUCACGUAAGCGUACGUGUAAAGUCGGUCCGGGCCGCUUCAUCCCACAAUACCGCCGGAAAAUAAUAAGACUAGUAGCGGCAAGCAAGUUGACAAAUCAUCGCCCACAACUUUGGUGUUCUACUCGUGCAUAGAAUCUAUGCAUAGAAAACCUGGCUCGGAUGCCACUGUUGGGUAACGUAGCAUAAAUUCAAAAUUUUCCUACGCAUAUUCAGAUCUUCCUAUGGAGAGACCAGCAACGAGAGAGGGGUAAGAGCAUCUUCAUACCUUUGAAGAUCGCUAAGCAGAAGCGUUGCUAGAACGUGGUUGAUGGAGUCGUACUCGCAACGAUUCCGAUCUAGUGCCGAACUACGGCACCUCCGCGUUCAACACACGUGCAGCCCGGUGACGUCUCCCACACCUUGAUCCAGCAAGGAGGAGGGAGAGGUUGGGGAAGAACUCCAGCAGCACGACAGCGUGGUGUCGAUGGAGAGACGAGGUCUCCCGGCAGGGCUUCGCCAAGCACCGGCAGAGAGGACCAGAAAGAAGAGCAGGGCUGCGCCGAGGGAGAGGGAAAAGUCUGUCUCUCAAUGGCCAAAAGUGCCCGAUAUAUAUAGGGGGAGGGGAGAGGGGGUGCCACCCCUAGGUUUCCCACCCUAGGGGGUGCGGCAGCCCCCCUAGAUGGGAGGUGCGGCGGCCAGAGGGGGGAGGUGGGGGUGGCGCACCAUCUGGUGGGCCUUAGGCACACCUGGCUUAGGGUUUGCCCCCCUUUUUCUCUCCCCUGCGCAUUGGGCUGAGUGGGGAGGCGCACCAGCCCACCUAGGGGCUGGUUCCCACCCCCACUUGGCCCACCUUACCACCCGGGGUCGUUGCCCCCCUUCGGUGGUCCCCCGGGGCCACCUCCGGUGGUCCCGGUACGUUACCAGUGAUGCCCGAAACACUUCCGGUGUCCGAAACCAUCCGUCCUAUAUAUCAAUCUUUACCUUCGGACCAUUCCGGAGCUCCUCGUGACGUCCGGGAUCUCAUCUGGGACUCCAAACAUCUUUCGGUAACCUCGUAUAACGAUUCCCUAUGACCCUAGCGUCAUCGAACCUUAAGUGUGUAGACCCUACGGGUUCGGGAGACAAGCAGACAUGACCGAGACACCUCUCUGGCCAAUAACCAUCAGCGGGGUCUGGAUACCCAUGGUGGCUCCCACUUGCUCCACGAUGAUCUCAUCGGAUGAACCACGAUGUCAAGGAUUCAAUCAAUCCCGUAUACGAUUCCCUUUGUCUGUCGGUAUAGAACUUGCCCGAGAUUCGAUUGUCGGUAUAGCUAUACCUUGUUCAAUCUCGAUACCGGUAAGUCUCUUUACUCGUUCCGUAGCACGUCAUCGUGUGACUAACUCCUUAGUCACAUUGAGCUCAUGAUGAUGUUCUACCGAGUGGGCCCAGAGAUACCUCUCCGUCACACGGAGUGACAAAUCCCGAUCUCGAUUCGUACCAACCCAACAGACACUUUCAGAGGUACCCGUAGUGCACCUUUAUAGUCACCCAGUUACGUUGUGACGUUUGAUACACCCAAAGCACUCCUACGGUAUCCGGGAGUUGCACAAUCUCACGGUCGAAGGAAAAGAUACUUGACAUUAGAAAAGCUUUAGCAUACGAACACUACGAUCUAGUGCUAUGCUCAGGAUUGGGUCUUGUCCAUCACAUCAUUCUCCAAUGAUGUGAUCCCGUUAUCAAUGACAUCUAAUGCCCAUGAUCAGGAAACCAUGAUCAUCUAUUGACUAACGAGCUAGCCAACUAGAGGCUUGCUAGGGACACAUUGUGAUCUAUCUAUUCACACAUGUAUUACUGUUUCCUGUUAAUACAAUUAUAGCAUGAACAAUAGACGAUUAUCAUGAACAAGGAAAUAUGAUAAUAACCAUUUUAUUAUUGCCUCUAGGGCAUAUUUCCAAUAGUCUCCCACUUGCACUAGAGUCAAUAAUCUAGUUACAUUGUGAUGUAUCGAACACCCAUAACAUUAUGGUGUUGAUCAUGUUUUUGCUCGUGGAAGAGGUUUAGUCAACGGGUCUGCAAUAUUCAGAUCCGUGUGUACUUUACAAAUAUCUAUCACUCCACUCUGGACAUGGUCCUGGAUGGAGUUGUAGCGGCGUUUGAUGUGCUUCGUCUUCCGGUGAAACCUGGGCUCCUUGGCUAUGGCAAUGGCUCCAGUGUUAUCACAGAAGAGUGUCAUUGGACCCGACGCGCUUGGAACCACUCCAAGGUCGGUGAUGAGCUCCUUCAUCCAAAUUCCUUCAUGAGCUGCUUCUGAAGCAGCUAUGUACUCCGCUUCACAUGUAGAUUCUGCCACGACUUCGUGCUUGCUACUGCACCAGCUCACUGCCCCACCAUUCAACACAUAUACGUAUCCGGUCUGUGACUUAGAGUCAUCCGGAUCUGUGUCGAAGCUAGCGUCGACGUAACCCUUUACGACGAGCUCUUCGUCACCUCCAUAAACGAGAAACAUUUCCUUAGUCCUUUUCAGGUACUUAAGGAUAUUCUUGACCGCUGUCCAGUGUUCCAUAUCGGGAUCACUUUGGUACCUCCCUACCAAACUUAUGGCAAGGUUUAUAUCAGGUCUGGUACACAGCAUGGCAUACAUUAGAGAGCCCACGGCUGAAGCGUAGGGGACAAAAGUCAUCUUCUCUCUAUCUGCUGCCGUGGUCGGCGGCUGAGUCUUACUCAAUCUCAUACCUUGCAAAACUGGAAGAACCCUUUCUUUGAGUUUUCCAUAUUGAACUUCUUCAAUAUCUUGUCAAGGUAUGUACUUUGCGAAAGUCCUAUGAGGCGUCUCGAUCUAUCUCUAUAGAUCUUGAUGCCUAAUAUGUAUGCAGCUUCUCCAAGGUCCUUCAUUGAAAAACUCUUGUUCAAAUAGGCCUUUAUGCUCUCCAACGUCUCUAUAUUAUUCCCCAUCAAUAAUAUGUCAUCCACAUACAGUAUGAGGAAAGCUACAGAGCUCCCACUCACUUUCUUGUACAGACAGGCUUCUCCAUAAACCUGUAUGAACCCAAACACUUUAAUCACCUCAUUAAAGCGAAUGUUCCAACUCCGAGAUGCUUGCACCAGCCCAUAGAUGGAGCGCUGGAGCUUGCACACUUUGUUAGCACCCUUAGGGUCGACAAAACCUUCUGGUUGCAUCAUAUACAACUCUUCCUUAAGGUUCCCGUUAAGGAACGUUGUUUUGACGUCCAUUUGCCAAAUUUCAUAAUCAUAAAAGGCGGCAAUUGCUAACAUGAUUCGGACUGAUUUCAGCUUCGUUAUGGGAGAGAAAGUCUCUUCGUAGUCAACUCCUUGAAUUUGUCGAAAACCCUUUGCGACAAGUCGAGCUUUGUAAACGGUUACAUUACCGUUUGCAUCAGUCUUCUUCUUGAAGAUCCAUUUAUUUCUAUGGCUCGCCGGUCAUCGGGCAAGUCCACCAAAGUCCAUACUUUGUUCUCAUACAUGGAUCCUAUCUCGGAUUUCAUAGCUUCAAGCCAUUUGUUGGAAUCCGGGCCCGCCAUCGCUUCUUCAUAGUUCGAAGGUUCACCAUUGUCUAACAACAUGAUUUCCAUUACAGGGUUGCCGUACCACUCUGGUGCGGAGCGUACCCUUGUGGACCUUCGUGGCUGAGUAGUAACUUGAUCCGAAGCUUCAUGAUCAUUAUCAUUAACUUCCUCUUCAGUUGGUGUAGGCGCCACAAGAACAACUUCCCGUGCUGCGCUACUAUCCUGUUCGAGAGGGGGUGUAGUUACCUCAUCAAGUUCUACCUUCCUCCCACUUACUUCUUUUGAGAGAAACUCUUUCUCUAGAAAGGAUCCGUUCUUGGCAACAAAGGUUUUACCUUCGGAUCUAAGAUAGAAGGUAUACCCAAUAGUUUCCUUAGGGUAUCCUAUGAAUACACAUUUCUCCGCUUUGGGUUUGAGCUUUUCUCGUUGAAGUUUCUUCACAUAAGCAUCGCAGCCCCAAACUUUAAGAAACGACAACUUAGGUUUCUUGCCAAACCAUAGUUCAUACGGUGUCGUCUCAACGGAUUUUGACGGUGCCCUAUUUAAAGUGAAUGCUGCAGUUUCUAAUGCGUAUCCCCAAAAUGAUAGCGGUAAGUCGGUAAGAGACAUCAUAGAUCGUACCAUAUCUAAUAAAGUGCGAUUACGACGUUCAGACACUCCGUUGCGUUGCGGUGUGCCAGGCGGCGCCAGUUGUGAAAUGAUUCCACACUUCCUUAGGUGUGUGCCAAACUCGUGACUCAAAUAUUCUCCUCCACGAUCAGAUCGUAGACACUUAAUUUUUCUGUCACGUUGAUUCUCGACCUCUCUCUGAAAUUCCUUGAACUUUUCAAACGUCUCAGAUUUGUGCUUCAUCAAGUAGAUAUACCCAUACCUACUCAAAUCAUCGGUGAGAGUGAGAACAUAACGAUAACCACCGCGAGCUUCAACGUUCAUUGGACCACACACAUCAGUAUGUAUUAUUUCCAAUAAGUCGGUUGCUCUCUCCGUUAUUCCUGAGAAUGGAGUCUUAGUCAUCUUGCCCAUGAGGCACGGUUCGCAUGUGUCAAAUGAUUCAAAGUCAAGAGACUCUAAUAGUUCAUCAGUAUGGAGCUUCUUCAUGCGCUUAACACCGAUAUGACCAAGGCGACAGUGCCCCAAGUAUAUGGGACUAUCAUUAUCAACUUUACAUCUUUUGGUACUCACACUAUGAAUAUGCGUAACAUCACGAUCGAGAUUCAUCAAGAAUAAACCAUUCACCAGCAGAGCAUGAUGUGACAGCCCGAUGCCGACGUUCCAGAAGAUUCCCCUCUCUUUCCCUUUUCGUCGUGUGCCUAUUUUCUUUUGUCACAUCAUCAUCGCAUCAUGCGCAUCAUCUGCAUUGCAUCGGCAUCUCCGUUGCCGCCAGUUUUCAAAACUUGCAUCCGUUAUUAGUUGCCGCUUCUCUUCGCGUUCGUCGUUGUUCGUUCCGAGCCUGACCGCACACGCACGCGCCCGCGGCACCGUCGAAACCCUGUUUUAAAAGCGCGUUUAAAACUUUCGCUGAUCAAGGUGAGACUUGGCACGCGGUCGUGAUUAGUUAUAGCUAGGCCGCCUGUCGAAUUUCGUCGCGAUCGGAGUUCGUUUGGUACCCGAACGGUCGACCGUAGCGGCACCGUAUUCGAUCCACCGUCGGACGUCUGUCGGUGUUUUAAAAUUCGUGUCGCGCCGCCCGUUCUCCCUCUCGUCUCCGGAUAUCCCCUCUACACGGCCGCGUACCCAUACCCGCGUUCGGAAUCGUCCGAAUCCGACCCUGCGGUUGGAUCCGGACCGUGAUUCCGGUUAACCGAGCCCCCCCGUUUGUCUAUAUAUACCCCACCAUCACAUUUAGACAGCCAUCCCUAACCUGCCUCAUUUUCCGCGCCCCUAACCCUAGCCUCUCAUCUCUCCCCUGUCUCCCACCAGCAGCCGCUGGGCCCGCGAAGCCCGCGUGGGGCCCACCCGAGCCCAUCCGAGCCCAAAGCUCCCAUCCAUGCCGCCGCCUCGCCCGAGAGCUCUUCCUGGCCGCGCCGCCGCUCCUCCCCGUCGGCGCCGUAGCUUCUCGCUCCGCCACCGUGCGCCCCGCUCGCUGGAGAUCCCCCUUUCCCGGUGACCCCGCUGGCCGGAGCCCCACCCGGUGCCCCGCAGCAGCCCUGCCCUCGCCGGGGACUGCAGCGCCGGCCUACCACCGCGCCAUGCCCUCCGGCCUCCGCGUCGCCAUGCACUGCCGCCGCCCUUGCCCAGAUCCGGAGGCCGCAGGCCAGAUCCAGCCCUCCGGCGCGCCGGCAGCCACCGGAGCCCUGCGUUCCCGCCGCCCUCGCAUCGCUGGGACCUUCUCUCCUCUCGGUCGAGAGCGAGGAGGAGGACAACGUCCCUCGCCCGAGCGCUCCCAGCGCCGAUCCGCCCACGUGGGCCUCCCAACCGUCGUGGCCCAGCUCGCCCCUCCCGCAGCGGCCCAGCGUCCCGUGCCACGGCCCAGCACCCGAGCCGCCUCGUGGGUGAGCGCCAGACCCGCCCAGGCCGAGCGCCUCCCCACGGCCCAGCUCCCACCGCCGGCCCAGUUCGGCCACCUCUCCCUCAGCAGCUCCAGGCCGGCCCACCGAGGUGAGCCUCUUCCCCCCUUAGCAUUAGGUAGAUUCGGCCCAUUAGAUUAAUUAGGUUAUUUUUUCCGGAUUUAAUAAAUUCCAGAAAAUAGAUAUAUUUAAAACGCGUGUAGUUUCUAAACCGUGCAUCGGAUCGGAACGUUUUAAAUAGGGAUUUCGCGUAGAUUACGUUUGUGCACCUUGCGGAUUUGUUCGAUUUAGUUUAGCGUGCCAAAUGCAUUGUUUACCGUGAUGUCUAUAUAGGAUAGACGCUGUAUUUAUUUUUCGCGGUAGGCCGUAUUCCCGAAUGCCGUUUUAGAAAUGCCCAUGCUUUAGGGACCUUUUUUUCCAUGCAUUUUAGAGCGGUCACUCGUAUUUUUGCGUGUAGGAUUUGCCGGUAAUUUAUUUACCCGCGUAUAGGUGUUUAUCUCGCAUUGAAGUGUGGCAUUAUUUUGUGUUGCAAAAACCCACAUAUUUUAUAUGUUCCCGGGGUAGAAAAAUCCCAUGGAUUUUUCUGUACAAUUAGUUUUAGCUUUCGAGUAAGUUAGUUCGCGAGAUAUUUUGCUAUGUUGCCUUUUUGAUUAAUUUGUAGGAUUUAUUGCGUGCGUCGUUUGACGGAGUUGUCAACUAGAGAGUUGAUCUUGGAUGUUUUGUUUAGCCCCUGGUAAUUUUGGUUGCAAUAGAUAUGCAUGUUUAGGUGUGUUUUGCUUGCUCUCAAGUUGCUAGAAAUAGUGCUGUUUUAGAGGAGCUGAAAUAUUUCUAAGUCUGGAAUCUGUUAUAUUUUGUUGCUGUCUUGUCUUGCUUGCAUCUUGUGAUCUGUAGCUCUUUUAAGGUUGGUCCAAAGGAGUUAGUUGCACCCCUUGUGUUUCUCUAGCAUGCUGUAAAGUUUCAUGCCAUUUGGAGCCCUGUAGCUAUAGGUUUUGCUGCUGUCAACAUUGCUUCAGAUCGAAAACUGCACUUUCAUGAGGUGUAAUUUUCACUGAGUCUGAAAUAGUGUGUAAGAUGCCAUUUUUGUGUCUUCUUUCCCUAGUGAUCCAUGAUGCCGUGCUAGUUGUUGUUAGUUGUUUGUAGUAGUGCUUCUUUCCCUCUUCCGUGCCAUGCCUUGCUUGAGCAUGUCGGAGUUGUGUAGCCGUAGUUGUGGGGCGUAGAAAAUGCUACGUGGCUGAUUUUGGCAGAUUGUAGUCAUUUCUUUUUUUGCUCGUAGAUGUUGAACCGUAGCUCCGAUUUGAUUGUGUCCUACAUGGAACUUGCUUAGAAUCUCGUGUAGUUUCAUUUUCUCUUGCUGGUUGUUUGUUUUGAGGUGCUCGUGACCGUCGUUGCACACAUAUUGCAUUCAUGCCAUCAUAUCUUGCGAUGCUUGUAACUUUUGAUCCGUAGCUCCGUUGGAGAUGUUCUUUAUGUGUAGAUUGCCUGAAAUGACGCGUAGAAUCACGUGAACCUAUUUGUUUUGCUGUUUAACAACUAAUUAAAUGCAUUAGUUCAGAUCUGGACAGAAUCGUAAAUUAACGUGUGAGGUCGUCUCGGAGGUGCUAUAUGUCAUUUCCGACCUCAUUUAAAAUGUCUAGAUAGGUAGUUUAAUUUCCGCUUCACCUCUUGCAUGUUUGAAAACAUUAAUAUUGCUGUGUAAAUAACCGGGAGUGAACUAAAUAAUUCAUAUGUGGAGUUUCGUCAAUAUGCAACUCGUUGCAUAUUGAACUUCACUUAAUGUGUAGUGUUUGUUUGUUGUGAAUUAUCAUGCCGUGCCUUGCAUGUUUUCAGCUGCUCAUGCAUCAUAUGUGUUGUGCAUCGUGUGGUGAAUUCCGUGUGUUGAUUUGUGUUUCCGGUUUGGUUCGUCUCGAUAGAGCUCCGCACGCUUGCCGGAUUGUGAGGACCCGUUCGACUACGUCGGUUCGUCUGCUUCACGGAGGCAUUCUUCUUCCAAGCGGGUUCUCAGGCAAGAUAAUCAUUUCCCCAGAUACCAUUACUAUCAUUGCCAUGCUAGUUUACCGUUUCUGUCGAUUAUGUCUCGUUGCCUACCACUUGUUAAAUAUCAGCCUCUCAACAAUGCCAUGUUAACCUUCAACCUGUUCGACCUAGCAAACCACUGAUUGGCUAUGUUACUUCUUGCUUAACCUUGUUGUUAGCGUUGCUAGUUGCAGGUGCUUUGCUUCCAUGUGAAAGCAUGGGUUCCUUGUUAUAUCACCAUAUUUAAAUGCUAUUUAAUUUAAUGGACCUAUAUACUUGGUAAAAGGUGGAAGGCUCGGCCUUUCUAGCCUGGUGUUUUGUUCCACCUUUGCCCCCUUAGUUUCGGCUACCGGUGUUAUGUUCCAUAAUUGAGCGCUCCUAACACGAUCGGGGUUGUUAUGGGGACCCCCUUGAUAAUUCGUUUUAGAUUAAAGCUGGUCUAGCAAGGCCCAACUUUGGUACUACAUUUGCCUAAUAACCUAAUAAUAAUGCAUAGGGACCCACCGGCACCCGUAGACUAUUUUAAUCUACCCCCGGGCCAGUGCUCCUCAUGAGUGUUGGCCCCACCUGAGCGAUGUCCGGCGCCCCUCUGGUCACCCGAAGGUUUAGCGAUCCCGACGUCUAGCUCAUCCGUCGUGUCCUGAGAACGAGGUACGCGACUCCUAUCAGGAUUGUCGACACGUUGGGCGGCCUUGCUGGAUUAGUUUUACCUUUGACGAGAUAUCUUGUGCAUCGGGAUUCCGGUGAUGCUUUGGGUAAUCUCAGAGUUGAGGUUUUCCACUAGGGAAUCCGACGAGAUCGCGAGCUUCGUGAUUGAGGAUUUCUAUGCGGCUUGUGGUAAUUUGUGAUGGACUAGUUGGAGCACCCCUGCAGGGUUAAAUCUUUCAGAAAGCCGUGCCCGCGGUUAUGUGGCAACAUGGAAACUUUGUUUAACACUGGUUCUAGAUAACUUGAAGUUAACUCAAUUAAAACUUGCCAACUGUGUGCGUAACCGUGACUGUCUCCUUCGUGAGUUCUUACUCCGAUCGAGGACAUGGUGGGGUUAUGUCUGACGUAGGUAGGUGUUCAGGAUCAUUCAUUUGAUCAUCGGUAGUUCACGUCCGUUAUGCAUAGAUCAUCCCCCUCUUAUUUCUUGUACUCGUAAGUUUAGCCACCAAAUAUAUGCUUAGCCGCUGCUGCAACCUCACCACUUAACCAUACCUCACCCAUUAAGCUUUGCUAGUCUUGAUACCUUUGGAAAUGAGAUUGCUGAGUCCCCUGUGGCUCACAGAUUACUACAACACCAGUUGCAGGUACAGGUAAAGGUUACUUGACGCGAGCGCGUUGAUUGUUCAUUUGGACUUGCUUCUUCUUCUUCUUCUUCUUCAUCGAUCUAGGAUGGGUUCCAGGCCGGCGGCCUGGGAUAGCAAGGAUGGACGUCGUUCUUUUUUGUCGUUUGUUUUCGUCCGUAGUCGGACCCUGCUCUUACUCUUGAUGUUUAUGUAAUGUACUGGUGUGACUCUGAUGUAGCUUGUGGCGAGUGUAAGCCAACUCUGUAUAUAUCUCUUCUUUUUAGUACAUGUACUUGUAACGAUAUCCAUUCUUGUGACGCGACGAGAUGCGCUUCUAUCCCUGACGAGGCCCUCGUGCCAAAUUUAGGAUAGGGUCACAUCUUGGGCGUGACACAUGACCAUAAAACAUAUCACUCAUAUAAAUAGAACAACCAUUAUUCUCUGACUUAAAUGAGUAGCCGUCUCGCAUUAAGCAAGACCCUGAUAAAAUAUUCAUGCUCAAAGCUGGUACUAAAUAACAAUUAUUAAGGUUUAAAACUAACCCCGACGGUAGAUGUAGAGGUAGCGUGCCGACGGCGAUCACAUCGACCUUGGAGCCAUUCCCGACGUGCAUCGUCACCUCGUCCUUGGCCAGUCUCCGCUUAUUCUGCAGUUCCUGCUUUGAGUUGCAAAUGUGAGUAACAACACCGACAUCAAAUACCCAGGAGCUACUACGAGCACUAGUAAGGUACACAUCAAUAACAUGUAUAUCACAUAUACCUUUAACGUUGUCGGCCUUCUUGUCCGCUAAGUAUUUGGGGCAGUUUCGCUUCCAGUGACCUUUUUCCUUGCAAUAGAAGCACUCAGUCCCAGGCUUGGGUCCAUUCUUUUCUUCUUCCCGGCAUCUAGCUUACCGGGCGCGGCAACAGCUUUGCCAUCUUUCUUGAAGUUCUUUUUACCCUUGUCCUUUUUGAAACUAGUGGUCUUGUUGAUCAUCAACACUUGAUGCUCUUUCUUGAUUUCUACUUCUGCAGACUUGAGCAUCGAGUACAACUCGAGAAUGGUCUUAUCCAUCCCUUGCAUGGUGUAGUUCAGCACAAAGCCUUUGUAGCUUGGUGGGAGAGACUGGAGGAUUCUGUCAAUUAUAACAUCAUCCGGAAGUUCGACUCCAAGUGAAGUCAGACGACCGUGUAACCCAGACAUUUUGAGUAUGUGCUCACUGACCGAACUGUUCUCCUCCAUCUUACAGCUAAAGAACUUGUCGGGGACUUCAUAUCUCUCGACAUGGGCAUGAGCUUGAAAAACUAGUUUCAGCUCUUGGAACAUAUUAUAUGCACCGUGCUGCUCAGAACGCCUUUGGAGCCCCGUUUUCAAACUGUAUAACAUGCCACACCUAACCAGAGAGUAGUCAUCACUCCGCGUUUGCCAUACGUUCAGAAUGUUGUGGGCUGCUGCGGGAGCAGGAGGGUCACCUAGCGGCGCAUCAAGGACAUAAGCCUUUUUAGCUGCUUCAAGGAUGAGCUUCAAGUUGUGAACCCAGUCCGCAUAGUUGCUACCAUCAUCUUUCAGCUUGUUUUUUCUCUAGGAAUGCGUUGAAAUUGAGGUUGACGUUGGCCAUCUAAAAUAUUUAUAAAGACAACUUUUAGAAUAAGUUCAUGACAAUUAAGUUCAUUUAAUCAAACUAAGUAUGAACUCCCACUUAAAUCGACAUCCCUCCAGUCAUCUAAGUGAUACAUGAUCCAUGUUGACUAACCCAUGUCAGAUCAUCAUGUGAGAGGGACUAGUCAUCAUGGUGAGCAACUUCAUGCUGAUCGUAUUCAACCAUAGACUCAUGUUCGACCUUUCGGUCUCUUGUAUUCGAGGUCAUGUAUGUACAUGCUAAGCUCGUCGAGUCAACCUAGGUGUUUCGCGUGUGUAAAUCUGGCUUACACCGUUGUAUGCGAACGUUAGAAUCUAUCACACCCGAUCAUCACAUGGUGCUUCAAGACAACGAUCCUUCGCAACGGUGCACACUCAGGGGAAUACGUUCUCGAAAUUUUAAGAGGGAUCAUCUUAUUAUGCUACCGUCGUUCUAAGCAAUAAGAUGAAAAACAUGAUAAACAUCACAAUGCAAUCAUAUAGUGACAUGAUAUGGCCAUUAUCAUCUUUGCUCUUUCGAUCUCCAUCUUCAGGCAUCACAUGAUCAUCAUUGUCACCAGUGUGACACCAUGAUCUCCAUCAUCAUGAUCUCCAUCAUCGUGUCUUGGUGAAGUCGUCACGCCAACUACUACUAUCACUACUACUAUAGCUAAUCGUUAGCAAUGAAGUAAAAGUAGUAAGCACAUGGCGUUGCAUCUCGUACAAUAAAUUAAGACAACUCCUAUGGUUCCUGCCGGUUGUCAUACUCAUCGACAUGCAAGUCGUGAAACCUGUUACAAUAACAUGAUCAUCUCAUACAUCAUACAUGCAACAUCACAACUUUGGCCAUAUCACAUCACAUGUCAAACCCUGCAAAAACAAGUUAGACGUCCUCUAAUUGUUGUUGCAAGUUUUACAUGGCUGAUUUGGGUUUCUAGCAAGAACGCUUUCUUACCUAUGUGACAGCCACAACGAUGAUAUGCCAAAGCUAUUUACCCUUCAUAAGGACCUUUUUCAUCAAAUUCAAUCCGACUAGAGUAGGAGAGACAGACACCCGCUAGCCACCUUUAUGCACGGUGUGCAUGUCUGUCGGUGGAACCAGUCUCACGUAAGCGUACGUGUAAUGUCGGUCCGGGCCGCUUCAUCCCAUAAUACUGCCGGAAAAGAAUAAGACUAGUAGCGGCAAGAAAUUGACAAAUCAUCGCCCACAACCUUUUGUGUUCUACUCGUGCAUAGAAUCUACGCAUAGAAAACCUGGCUCGGAUGCCACUAUUGGGUAACGUAGCAUAAAUUCAUUUUUUCCCUACGCAUAUUCAGAUCUUCCUAUGGAGAGACCAGCAACGAGAGAGGAGUGAGUGCAUCUUCAUACCUUUGAAGAUCGCUAAACGGAAGCAUUGCUAGAAUGCGGUUGAUGGAGUCGUACUCGCGGCGAUUCAGAUCGCGGUGUGAUUCCGAUCUAGUGCCGAACCACAGCACCUCCGCGUUCAACACACGUGCAUCCCGGAGACGUCUUCCUCGCCUUGAUCCAGCAAGGAGGAGGGAGAGGUUGCGGAAGAUCUCCGGCAGCACGACGGUGUGGUGUCGAUGGAGAGACGAGGUCUCCCGGCAGGGCUUCGCCAAGCACCGUGGGAGAGGAGGAAGAAGGGGGGCAUGGCUGCACCGAGGGAGAGGGAAAACGGUGUGUCCAACAGCCCCAAAAACCCCCACUAUUUAUAGGAGGAGGGGAGGGGGGUGCGCCACCCCUAGGGUUCCCACCCUAGGUGGUGCGGGAGCCCAGAUGUGAGAGGGGGGUGGCGGCGAGGCCACGGAAAGGGGGGGGGCGCCCUAGGUGGGCCUUGGGCCUCCCCUGCGCCUAGGGUUUCCCCUCCCUCCCUCUCUGGUGCACAUGGGCUGGGUGUGGGGGGCGCACCAGCCCACCUAGGGGCUGGUUCCCUCCCGCACUUGGCCCAUGUAGCCCUCCGGGGCUUGUGGCCCCUCCCGGUGGGCCUCCGGAACCCUUCCGGUGGUCCCGACACUUUGCCGGUGGUGCCCGAAACAUUUCCGGCGUCCAAAUCCAUCCAUCCUAUAUAUCAAUAUUUACCUCCGGACCAUUCCGGAGCUCCUCGUGACGUCCGGGAUCUCAUCCGGGACUCCGAACAUCCUUCGGUAACCUCAUAUAACAAUUCCCUAUAACCCUAGCGUCAUCGAACCUUAAGUGUGUAGACCCUACGGGUUCGGGAGACAGGCAGACAUGACCGAGACACCUCUCCGGCCAAUAACCAUCAGGGGGGGUCUGGAUACCCAUGGUGGCUCCCACUUGCUCCACGAUGAUCUCAUCGGAUGAACCACGAUGUCAAGGAUUCAAUCAAUCUCGUAUACAAUUCCCUUUGUCUGUCGGUAUAGAACUUGCCCGAGAUUCGAUCGUCGGUAUACCUAUACCUUGUUCAAUCUCGUUACCGGUAAGUCUCCUUACUCGUUCUGUAGCACGUCAUCGUGUGACUAAAUCCUUAGUCACAUUGAGCUCAUGAUGAUGUUCUACCGAGUGGGCCCAGAGAUACCUCUCCGUCAUGCGGAGUGACAAAUCCCGAUCUCGAUUCGUACCAACCCAACAGACACUUUCAGAGGUACCCGUAGUGCACCUUUAUAGUCACCCAGUUACGUUGUGACGUUUGAUACACCCAAAGCACUCCUACGGUAUCCGGGAGUUGCACAAUCUCACGUCGAAGGAAAAGACACUUGACAUUAGAAAAGCUUUAGCAUACGAACAAUACGAUCUAGUGCUAUGCUGAGGAUUGGGUCUUGUCCAUCACAUCGUUCUCCCAAUGAUGUGACCCAGUUAUCAAUGACAUCUAAUUCCCAUGAUCAGGAAACCAUGAUCAUCUAUUAAUCAAUGAGCUAGCCAACUAGAGGCUUGCUAGGGACACAUUGUGAUCUAUUUAUUCAGACAUGUAUUACUGUUUCCUGUUAAUACAAUUAUAGCAUGAACAAUAGACGAUUAUCAUGAACAAGGAAAUAUGAUAAUAACCAUUUUAUUAUUGCCUCUAGGGCAUAUUUCCAACAGUUUUAUGCUUCACAGCGGCCCGAACCUGGGUAAACGCCCCGAGUCUCAUCAUCGUGCUGCCUUGUGGUUUCUGCUCUUUGUGCCAUGCGAUCUCCCUACCGAACCACGAAGGGGCCUAAGGUCCCAUAGGUGAUCAAGUGCACACCUUCACUAACAAUGGGGAUGCCGACAUGUCUCACGUCUGGUGUUUGUAACAUAUCACGAGGCAACAAGAAUAUCACAUGACAACUACAUGUUCACUCAAAUAUUCAUUCGUGUGGGCAUAGGGAUCAAUAUGGAUGUCCAGGUUCCGCUAUUUAUCAUUGAUUGGAAAGUGCUCCACUCAUGUCUAUGCUCCCCCGAACCUACAGGAUCACACACUUAAGGGUCAUCUAUCUGCUGAGUACUAGAUAGGGAGUUCAUGAGGAAGAAACCGAAAUAGUUUUAGAUUCAACGAAAAAAUGCUUAAGAGCAAAAAAUCGGAGAAGUUUUGGUGAAACCAAAAGUUGUUUCGAAGUAAACAACAAUACAUAAAUGCAGAGCACCUGUGAGGUUCAAGCAACGACUAGACAUUAUAAUUCAGGGUAGAAAAGAUCGAGUUCGUGCUCACAUCCAACAUUAACUAGGCUCAAUGCAUAACAAUGACAAUAGUGCUCUCUGGUCUGGUGCUUUUAGUACGAGGGUGAUGACUCAAUGUACAAGUAAAUAGAUAUGCCCUUCGCAGAGGGAAUCAUUGAUUUGCAGAGGUGCCAGAGCUCAAGUUUGAAAGCAGGAUUGAAAAUAUAGUCUUUGGGUGGUGUGCUUUACUGUUAGUAUUAUGACAAAGGUUUUCAGUAUCUUCCAUGCUAAACUCAUUAUUGGCAGUUCCCAAACAGAAAUGUAAAGUUUACUCCUUUCCACCAUCUACACACAAACCAUGGCUAGCCAAAUUCACGGGUGUGUUCCAACAUAUCAACUGUCCCAAGGAGUGUUGUUUAAUUUAAUUUUGAUUAUGCAAGACCGGACAUCCUUUUUACCAACCUCUCUCGUGCAAUGAUGGUGAAUAAAUAGCCGCCUUGAGAAUAACUUACUUAACAUGGAAGAUACCGACCACCCCAUCGCUAGAGUGGUACGAGUGCACAAAAACAUGUGUUUGUUUGAAUAUUAGAGGUGGCACAUGCAAACUUACUUGGAACGACAGGGUAAUACCGUAUAUAGGUAAGUAUGGUGGGCUCAUGUGGAAUAACUUGGUUUAAGGAUUUUGGAUGCACAAGUAGCAUUCCUGCUUAGUACAUGUGAAGGCUAGCAAUAGAUUGGGAAGCGACCAGGUAGAGAACAAAACGGUCAUAAGCAUGCAUUGUGAAUAAUUAACAUUGGUCAUUAGCAUGAGUAGGAUAUGAACACUCUAAAUUUAAACAUCAUGAAUGCUGCAUUAGUUUUGAAUCAACUACAUGUUUUCACAUGGGCCAAGUUAAGCCGCGCGAAUUACUAAGAGGGAAAUACCAUACUACCAUACUAGAUCAUAACUAUUUUAAUUCAUGUUGACACAUAAGAUAAAUCAUUAUCCACUCCUAGCUAUUUAAGCAUGGCAUUAGAAACUAUAAUCUCUAAUUGCCAUCACAAACAUGUUCACUCAUGGUAUACUGAAGCAAGAUCGAACGAGCCAAAAAAUGUUUACAACAAGGGAAAACAAGAAGAGUUCAUACCAGCUUCCUUUGUCGCGAUCACGUCAUCUAAUAUCAUCAUUAUUGCCUUUCACUUGCAUGAGCGAAUGAUGUGUGAUAAUAGUAAUAGUGUAAGAAUGUCGUAGACUAAGCUGGAAUCUGCAAGGUAUUUGUGCAAAGGAGAAGACAUGGUGAUAUUGGCUCUUUGUUAGAUUAACAAUAAUGCAUAUUAGAGCCUAAUGACCCACAAGUAUAGGGGAUUAAUAAUAGUCCUUUCGAUAAGUAAGAGUGUCGAACCCAACGAGGAGCAGAAGGAAAUGAUAGGUGGUUUUCAACAAGGUAUUUUGUGCAAGUGUUGUAAGUAACAUCGAUAAAUAGUUUUUAGCAAGAUAAUUCGUAACAAGUGACAAGUAACAAUAGUAGAAAAGGUGCAGAAAGGUAGCCCAAUCCUUUUUGUAGCAAAGGAUUGGCCUGAAAGUAUUAUUAUAUAAAGCAAGCGCUCCCGAGGACACAUGAGAAUUUCUGUCUAGUCAUGUUCAUCAUAUUGAGUUGAGUCCUGUUCGCUACUUUGAUAAUUUGAUAUGUGGGUGGAUCGAUGCUAAUGUGUUGUUCUUACUUGAACAAACAACUAACUUAUGAUUACCCUCUCCCGCAUGCAUCCGCAACUACGAAAGAAGAAUUAAUAUAAAUCGAACCAUAGCAUUAAACGUGUGGAUCCAGAUCAGCCCCUCAUGAAGCAACACAUAAACUAGGGUUUAAGCUUCUGUCCCUCUCGCAACCCAUCAUCCACUUGUUACUCCACAAUGACUUCCCUUAGGCCCAUAACAUGGUGAAGUGUCAUGUAGUCGAUGCUCACAGGACAACACUAAGAGAAGUAACACCAUACAUAUCAUCAAAAUAUCGAACGAAUACCAACUUUAUAUGAUUGCUUAUAACAAGACUUCUGCCAUGUCCUCGGGAACAAUAGUUACUACUCACACCUCAUCAACAUGUUCANNNNNNNNNNNNNNNNNNNNNNNNNNNNNNNNNNNNNNNNNNNNNNNNNNNNNNNNNNNNNNNNNNNNNNNNNNNNNNNNNNNNNNNNNNNNNNNNNNNNUCAUAACUUUUAUGACAAUUAUAAAAAUGCCGUAACAUGUUCUAACUAUGUUGACAUGUCACUCGUGGGUCCAUUAUAAAAAAUCUUUUGACAACAAACCAUUUGGUCAAUUGUAUAUUUAAUAAGACAUAAAAUUUUAGAAAAAUGAUUUGGUCCAAUUUUGCAAUAAAUAUUUGGUAGGUCCUUCACAAAAAAAACUCACUUUAGGCACUCGAAAAAUAUAAAAUGGAUUUUUCGUGCAAAAAAAUGAAAAGUCCCUUUGACAACAUUAUUUGUAAUUCCAAGAUGCAAGCUUGUAUACUUUAAGAGAUCAUAUUUGGAUUUUAUCAUGUGAAAAAGUAGAAGCACCGACGACCUCGAAUCUCAGGCAAGUUCUAUACCGACAGACAAAGGGAAUUGUAUACGGGAUUGAUUGAAUCCUUGACAUCGUGGUUCAUCCGAUGAGAUCAUCGUGGAGCAAGUGGGAGCCACCAUGGGUAUCCAGACCCCGCUGAUGGUUAUUGGCCGGAGAGGUGUCUCGGUCAUGUCUGCCUGUCUCCCGAACCCGUAGGGUCUACACACUUAAGGUUCGAUGAUGCUAGGAUUAUAGGGNNNNNNNNNNNNNNNNNNNNNNNNNNNNNNNNNNNNNNNNNNNNNNNNNNNNNNNNNNNNNNNNNNNNNNNNNNNNNNNNNNNNNNNNNNNNNNNNNNNNCAAGGAAUAUGCUAAUACACGACGCUAUUUUUUCGUCGCUACAUCAUCACGGUUUUUAAUUUAUGACGAUCUCACGACGAAAAACCAAGCGGCAAAAACGGAGCGUCACAAAUGAACAGCAGCGACGUUUUGAUCAAAACCGUCGUAACUUUUUACGACGAUUCCUGGAUUGUCGUAACCUUUACGACGAUCCUAAAUCGUCGUUGGCAAUCAAACUCAGUCCUACGUGGCAAAAUUAUGACGAAAUCAAAAACGUCAUGGUUGAAAUCAGCCCAACCCAUUUCAAUUGAUCACAUGGGCUGUUUUUAUUUUUUGGGUUUUUCUUAUUGGGCUUCUUUUGGGGCCUUAGCCUAUUUACAACCAUUUUUAGUAUUUUUUUUAAUUUUGGUUUGUGGCCUUUUUACUUUCUAUUGAUUUUAUUUUUUGGCCAUUUUAUUUUUGUACUGGUCCCACAUGUCAUGUUGAUCUCAAAAUUAGUCCCACACGUCAGAAAUUUCACAUUUUAUCAAAUAAAUAUCGUAACUUGGUCCCCUUGUCAAGUUGCCAUUUCAUAGGUAUUCAAAUCACAUUCAGAAUCAAUAUUUCAAACAGGCUAGGGAGCAAAUAAAAUUCGUCCAAACCAACAUUAAAUUUGUCUAUUACAAUCUUUACACUACACCACAACCCAGAUAUACCUACUACUGCCAACUAUNNNNNNNNNNNNNNNNNNNNNNNNNNNNNNNNNNNNNNNNNNNNNNNNNNNNNNNNNNNNNNNNNNNNNNNNNNNNNNNNNNNNNNNNNNNNNNNNNNNNAUUUUGCCACUUGGUGGAGUAAUUCUAAUGCCUUUUCUCUCAUAAUAUACAAGGUUUACAUCAAGUGGGAGAAUGCCAGCAAAUGGAAUUCUGGACAUAAAAAGGACAGAUACCUAUUGUGCACAUCUCCAAUUGGGUUGAAAAUUUCAGGAUAUUUAUUUUAUAAUAAAUUAAAAAUACUGGGAUGAAGAAGUGCAGGAGGGGUCCACCAUGCGGCCACUAGACACUAGGGCGCCUGAUGUCUAGGGGGCCACCUGGCCCACCUCUAGCGCCCAUAUUCUCGUAUAUAUUCUUCUUCGACAUAAAAAAUAAGGAGAGGACUUUCGGGAUGAAGCGCCGCCAUCUCAAGGCGGAACCUGGGCAGGAGCACUUUUGCCCUCCCACGGAGCGAACUUCCCUCCCAGAGGGAGAAAUCGAGGCCAUCAUCAUCACCAAAAACCCUCUCAUCUUAGGGAGUCCAACCUUCAUCAACAUGUUCAUCGACAUCAUCUCCUCUCAACACCCUAGUUCAUCUCUUGUACUCAAUCUUGUACCGGAACCUCAGAUUGGUACGUGGGAUGUGUCUAGNNNNNNNNNNNNNNNNNNNNNNNNNNNNNNNNNNNNNNNNNNNNNNNNNNNNNNNNNNNNNNNNNNNNNNNNNNNNNNNNNNNNNNNNNNNNNNNNNNNNAUCAAUCUUGAAUACUUUAUAUGCAUUUAUAUGGUAUUUUAUAUCAGUUUUUGGGACUAACCUAUUAACCAAGUGCCCGGUGCUAGUUCCUAUUUUUUCUAUGUUUUUGUCUUCUUCAGAAAAAUCAAUACCAAACAAUCCCAAACACGAUGAAACUUUAUGGAGGUUAUUUUUGUACAUAAAAAGAACCUACAAGAUUCGAGGAGAGAACAAAUGAGCCACGAGGGAGCCACGAGCUUGCAUGGUGUGCCUUGGGGGGUAGGCCCGCCGAGCAGGCUCGUGACUCCCUCGCAACGCUUUUUCUCCUAAUUGCACUUAUAUAUAUUCCCAUGUACCCCAAACCAACAAAGAGACACCCAAAAUACUUUUUCCGCUGCCGCAAGCCUCUGUUCUUCAGUGAUCCCAUCUGGAGUCCUUUUUGGUAAUCUGCCGGAGGGGAAUCGAUCACGGAGGUCGUCUACAUUGACCUUGUCGCCUCCAUGAUGAUGCGUGAGUAGUUCAAUACAGACCUACAGUUUCAUAGCUAGUAGCUAGAUGGCUUCUUCUCUCUCGUUGAUCUUCAAUACCAUGUUCUCCUCGAUCUUCUUGGAGUUCUAACUGAUGUAAUCUUGCUUUGCGAUGUGUUUUUGGGAUCCGAUGAAUUAUUGGUUUAUGAGUAGAUUAUUCAUUGAAAGUAAUUGCACCUUUUCUAAACUUUAUUGUGCAUNNNNNNNNNNNNNNNNNNNNNNNNNNNNNNNNNNNNNNNNNNNNNNNNNNNNNNNNNNNNNNNNNNNNNNNNNNNNNNNNNNNNNNNNNNNNNNNNNNNNAACUUGAGAGCAAGCAAACAACACCUAAACAUGCAUUUCUAUUGCAACUAAAAAUACCAGGGGCUAAACAAAACACCCAAGAUCAACUCCCUAGUUGACAACUAAUUCAAACGACCCGGNACGGAAUAAAUCCUACGAAUUAAACAAAAGGGCAUCACGGCAAAAUAUCUCGCGAACUAACUUCCUCAAAAAGCUAAAACUAAUUGCACAGAAAAAUCCAUGGGAUUUUUCUACCCCGGAAACAUAUAAAAUAUGUGGGGUUUUGCCAACACAAAAUAAUGCCACACAAUAACGCGGGAGAAAUAAACCUAGACACGAAAAAUAAUCUAACGGGCAAUCCCUACACGCAAAAUUACACUUGACCGCUCUAAAAUGCAUGGCAAAUAGCUCCCUAGAGCAUGGACAUUUACUCUACGUCAUACGAACAACCCGGACACGCGCGGAAAAUAACCAUGGAUCGGAUCCUAUUGUAACAGCACGCAAAACAAAGCAUUAGGCACCCUAAACGGCGUCAAAACAAUUACGCAAGUUGGAUAAACGUGUUCUACUCGUGAAGCUACCCCAAAACGAUAUAUAACACGUCUCGAACCGGCUUACGGUUUAAAAGUUACGGGGGUUUAAAUAAAUAGCUAAAUCCUGAAAUUAACUAAACCGAAAAAGAAAAAAACUAAAAUCUCUAACGGGCCGAAUCUGGUGGCGCAACAUAUCUAACGCGCACCUAGGCAAGGAGUUCUCACCUAGCGGGCUCAGCCCAUGAAGGGGAGACGGUAGCAGGCCGAGGGCGGCCAACUGGGCCUGGCCGGUGGCUCGGCUUGCUCGGCCAGGGGCGCUUGGAGGUGGGCCGGGGCGAGCGGUGCCAGCUGGGCCGGCUCGGCAGGAGGCCCACGCGCGGGCAGAGGAGGCGCUCCCGUCUCCACUCUCGAUCCCGAGCGGCGGCGCGAUGGCUCCUGCCGUGGCGGCCGGCGAGGGGGGACCNNNNNNNNNNNNNNNNNNNNNNNNNNNNNNNNNNNNNNNNNNNNNNNNNNNNNNNNNNNNNNNNNNNNNNNNNNNNNNNNNNNNNNNNNNNNNNNNNNNNAACGAACCCGACCGAUUUUUCAACUAUGUUCACCUUUAUAUUUUUGAUUGUACAUGAAGAACCAACUAUUUCUAUACGAUUAUCAGUUAGAUUAUGUUGUGUUGUCUCGGUAUCUCGGUGGUGCUCAAAAGAGGUGUACGAGUCUUGUACCGUGCCAAUCUUCUUGAAAGAGAAAAAAGAAGCAAUUCCAAAUUGAGUAACGGAAUUCUUUUCUCACUCCAAUUAAAAAGCACAAAAAUAUAUAUUAAAAGAUGAAGCAAAUUAAAAAAAGGAAAAGAAACACACGCUUCCCCGGUUGUCUUCGUCUCCUUUUCCCCAGCGCACCGCACCGCGUCUCCGUUCCUCUUUCUCCUCCUCCUCCUCCUCCUCCUCAUCUUCCCACCUCCUUCGUCAAACCCCAGGGCCAAGCAACCGCCGCCGCCGCCCCCGCCGAAUCCGCGGCCCCCGACCCCGCCCCGCGCGCCCCCGGCCCGCCCCCCGCGCCGAUCCGCCGGAAUCCGCCGCAAAGGCGGCGCCUUUCCGGCUCUCCCCCGAUGUACAGCAACUUCAAGGAGCAGGCGAUCGAGUACGUGAAGCAGGCCGUCCAGGAGGACAAUGCCGGCAACUACGUCAAGGCGUUCCCGCUCUACAUGAACGCGCUCGAGUACUUCNNNNNNNNNNNNNNNNNNNNNNNNNNNNNNNNNNNNNNNNNNNNNNNNNNNNNNNNNNNNNNNNNNNNNNNNNNNNNNNNNNNNNNNNNNNNNNNNNNNNCGUAGCAUGUUGAUCGUGUCAUUUUUGUUGCUACUGUUUUCUGCGUGUCAAGUAUUUGUUCCUAUGACCAUCAAAUCAUAUAACUCACUGACACCGGAGGAAUGAUUUGUGUGUAUCAAACGUCGCAACAUAACUGGGUGACUAUAGAGAUGCUCUACAGGUAUCUCCGAAGGUGUUCGUUGAGUUAGUAUGGAUCGAGACUGGGAUUUGUCACUCCGUGUGACGGACAGGUAUCUCGGGGCCCACUCGGUAAUACAACAUCACACACAAGCCUUGCAAGCAAUGUGACUUAGUGUAAGUUGCGGGAUCUUGUAUUACAGAACGAGUAAAGAGACUUGCCGGUAAACGAGAUUGAAAUAGGUACGCGGAUACUGACAAUCGAAUCUCGGGCAAGUAACAUACCGAAGGACAAAGGGAAUGACAUACGGGAUUAUAUGAAUCCUUCGCACUAAGGUUCAAACGAUAAGAUCUUCGUAGAAUAUGUAUGAUCCAAUAUGGGCAUCCAGGUCCCGCUAUUGGAUAUUGACCGAGGAGUCACUCGGGUCAUGUCUACAUAGUUCUCGAACCCGCAGGGUCUGCACACUUAAGGUUCGACGUUGUUUUAUGCGUAUUUGAGUUAUAUGGUUGGUUACCGAAUGUUGUUCGGAGUCCCGAAUGAGAUCACAGAUGUCACGAGGGUUUCCGGAAUGGUCCGAAAACGAAGAUUGAUAUAUAGGAUGACCUCAUUUGAUUACCGGAAGGUUNNNNNNNNNNGAUGAGAUCACAGACGUCACGAGGGUUUCCAGAAUGGUCCGGAAACGAAGAUUGAUAUAUAGGAUGACCUCAUUUGAUUACCGGAAGGUUUUCGGAGUUCACCGGGGGGGGGCAGCCCACCCCGGGGAAGCCCAUAGGCCUUGGGGGUGGCACACCAGCCCUUGGUGGGCUGGUGGGACAACCCAAGAAGGCCCUAUGCGCCAUAGAUAGAAAAUCAAAGAGAAAAGAAAAAAAGGAGGUGGGAAGGAAGAGAAGGACUCCACCUUCCAAUCCUUGUUGGACUAGGAUUGGAGGAGGACUCCUCCUCCCCUUAGUGCGCAGCCCUUGGGGCUCCUUGAGCCUCAAGGAAAGCCUCCCCUCCCUCCUCCUAUAUAUAUGGAGCUAUUAGGGCUGAUUNNNNNNNNNNNNNNNNNNNNNNNNNNNNNNNNNNNNNNNNNNNNNNNNNNNNNNNNNNNNNNNNNNNNNNNNNNNNNNNNNNNNNNNNNNNNNNNNNNNNGUCGUAGCCCUCUCAACUUUUUAAAACAUGCUAUGUGGGUGAAAUGAUGAUAGCAUGCCAACUUUCAACAUUUUCAGAGUUCAUUUGUAGUGCUUUUCAAUUUCAGGGUCAACUAGCCCAAAAAAACAAAAGUAAAUGCACGAAGAAUACCAAAUUAAGUCGGAAAUUGUUGAAAUUUUGUGAUGUGCCUUUGAAUGGUGCAUUUUAAACACACAAAAAGUAUGGAGUUCAAAUAAGUUCAAAAAAAUGAAAUCCNNNNNNNNNNGAAAAUACGAAAUGAAGUCAGAAAUUGUUGAAAUUUUGCGAUGUGCCUUUGAAUGGUGCAUUUUGAACACACAAAAAGUAUGGAGUUCAAAUAAGUUCAAAAAAAUGAAAUCCCUUUGUAAGAGAUGAGUUCUCGUUCGAAACCCUCAUACUUCGAGAGAGAUUGUCCGUUUUGUACACGAAGUGCAUCCAGUUUUUCUCGUAGCCCUCUCAACUUUUUAACACAUGCUAUGUGGGUGAAAUGAUGAUAGAAUGCCAACUUUCAACAUUUUCAGAGUUCAUUUGUAGUGCUUUUCAAUUUUAGGGUCAACUAGCUCAAAAAAAUAAGUAAAUGCACGAAAAAUACCAAAUGAAGUCAGAAAUUAUUGAAAUUUUGUGAUGUGUCUUUGAAUGGUGCAUUUUGAACACACAAAAAGUAUGGAGUUCAAAUAAGUUCAAAAAAAAUGAAAUCCCUUUGUAACAGAUGAGUUCUCGUUCGAAACCAUGAUACUUUGAGAGAGAUUGUUUGUUUUGUACACGAAAUGCAUCCAGUUUUUGUCGUAGCCCUCUCCACUUUUUAGCACAUGCUAUGUGUGUGAAAUGAUGAUACCAUGCCAACUUUCAACAUUUUCAGAGUUCAUUUGUAGUGCUUUUCAAUUUUAGGGUCAACUAGCUCAAAUAAAUAAGUAAAUGCACGAAAAAAUACCAAAUGAAGUCAGAAAUUGUUGAAAUUUUGUGAUGUGCCUUUGAAUGGUGCAUUUUGAACACACAAAAAGUAUGGAGUUCAAAUAAGUUCAAAAAAAUGAAAUCCCUUUGUAAGAGAUGAGUUCUCGUUCGAAACCGUGAUACUUCGAGAGAGAUUGUCCGUUUUGUACACGAAGUGCAUCGAGUUUUUGUCGUAGCCCUCUCAACUUUUUAACACAUGCUAUGUGACAGCCCGAGACCGACGCCCAGAAGAUUUCCCCUUUAUUCCGUUUCCGUCCUGUGGCUAUUUUAUUUUUGUUGGUUGCAUCGUCAUGUAGUUUGCAUCAUCGCAUCAUGCAUGGCAUCAUGUCAUCUGUGCUUGUCUGGUGUGGCUAGUUGCACCUCGUUGUUUGAGUGUGAGCGCAUGUGUGUAUGUGCCUUAGGGCCUUGCAACGUGAUUGGGUGCAACAAGUUCAAGCUCGUAACCGUGUUGCACCGCGGAUUCUAAAACCUUAUCACCCCUCUUUUAUUUGUUUUGCGGUUUGCUAAAGUUUCCAUUUUAACCCCGUCAAAAGAUUCGUCUUCUUUUAAAAAAUCCUUUUAUUAAAUGUGGGUGCAACCCUUGGGUUUUCUUUAUUUUUCUCCUUUGGUUUUAUUUUAAAUCCGUCUCAUUUUCUUUUCCUCUUUAAAGAGCUUUAUUUUAAUCUUAAAUAAAAGAGGUUGUAUUUUGUUCUCCUGUCAAAAGGAGUUUGAUUUUUAUUCUUUUGUAAACGGGUUUUAAUUUUAAUUCUUCAAAAAAGGGUUUUAUUUUAUUUCUUAAAAAGGUUUCAUUUUUAUUUGUUUAAAGAGCCCAAUCUAUUUUUAUAGUUGGAGCAUGUUUUAAGGAGCCCAAAAGUAUUUUUGUUUUAGUUAAAUUCCUUUUCUUUUGGUUGUGGUUUCCUUUUUUUUAACCGGCUAUUUUAUUUUUUUGUGCACGACAUUUUUUCUUUUAGAAGGAGAGGACCCAGACCAAGGCCCAGCCGGCCAAGGCGCAGGCCCCCUCCAACCCUAGCGUCGUGCUGCGCCUCUCCCUCGUCACCCAGAGCGCCGUCUCCUCCCGAUUCUCCUCUCCUCGUCCCCCGCGCCGCCCUAGCCUCCAGUCCCCGUGCUCGCUCGCCUCCCUUGCGCCGCCGCCGUGCCAGCUCCUCUCGGCGCCUUCCGCUCGUCCUCGCCCCUCCCUCCUGCUGCCUGGCCGCUUCGAUGAGUGCCCUCACCGCCGGCGACCCUCGCGACCUCCGCCAGGGUUCCCCUCGCCGCGCCGCCGUGGGGCCUCGCCGGACCGAGCCGCGCACCCCCAUCGCGCCCAGGUCCCGCGCCGGCCCGAGGUCGUCCCUGCCGUAGCACCUUCAGCGCCGCCCCGUGCCUUCCCUGGCGACACCGGGCUCCUCUCAGCCUUCUCGGCUCCUCCCGAUGUACCGCGCCCUUGGCCUCCCGCGCCGCCCUACGCUCCAUGGAGCUCCUCCAUGCUGCUGUUGCCGAUGUGUGAUGCGGGCUCCCGUUGUUUGCUGUUGCUGUUGGCUGUGCCGUGCUAGCUGCCGCUGUUGUAGCCUGUUGCUGCCGGUUAUUCCUGUUGUCGUGGCUGUUUUUGCCUUUGUUGUUGCCGGUUCGCUGCAGGCAAGCUAGCUGCUGCUACAGUUGUUGUUGCGUUUGCUGAUGCUUGUGCUGGUUCCUGCUGCCGCUGUUGCUGCGUUUGCUGUUGCCGAGCCUGCAUUUGUGUCGUUCUGGUGUUUGCUGCUUGUCGCCAUGCCAUGUUGUCCGCCUUGCUGUAUGCUGCUGUUGUCGUGCUUGCUUAGCCGCUGUAGUUGCUAGACUGCUUGCCUACCGAUGCGUGUUGCUGAUGCUAGUUGAUAUGCUGUUGCUUGCCCGCUUGCUGCUAUUGUUUGCUGCUGCCCAUGAUGCUGCUUGCGCUUGCUGUUGCCGAGUUUGCCUGAUAUGGUGGCUAGCCUGCCUUGCUGUUAGAUGCAUGCUAGGCUAGUUGUUGUAGUUGCUGCUAGCUUGGCUUAGUUGCUGCUCUUGUUGCUUGCCCGCCUGAUGCUGCUGCUAGCUGCUGCUUGCGGGUUGCGUGCUUUCGCUAGCCGUGUUGCUGCCGCUUGCCGUCGUCGCGUAGACCAUCCCUGCCAUUGUGGAAUCAACAAGUUCACGAGAUCCACGACGUCCUCGACGACCCCGAACAUCAAUGGAGACGUGAUCGACUACCGACGCCGAAGACCCGAGAACCAUGACGCCGAGCGAACGACUACCGUCGACGAGACCGUGUGUGUGCGUCAUGUUGUGCGUCGGUGGUGAAUAUCUGUGUUGAUGUUUGUUUCCGGUUUGUUCCGUCUCGAUAGAGUUCCGCAAGCGUGUCAGAAUGUGAGGGGCCGUUCGACUACGUUGGUUCGCCGACUUCACGGAGUUGUUCUUCUUCCAAGCGGGAUAUCAGGCAAGAUGACCAUUCCCCAUAUACCAUUACUAUCAUUGCCAUGCUAGUUUAUCACUUCUAUCGUUUAUGUCUCGUUGCCUACCACCUGUUAAAUUAAGCCUCUGAACAAUGCCAUGAUAAACUUCAACCUGUUCAACCUAGCAACCCACUGAUUGGCUAUGAUACCGCUUGCUUAACCCUGUUGUUAGCGUUGCUAGUUGCAGGUGCAGAUGCUUCCAUGCAAAAGCAUGGGUUCCUUGUUAUAUUACCGUAUUAAUGCUAAUUAAUUUAAUGGACCUAUAUACUUGGUAAAAGCUGGAAGUCUCGGCCUUUCUAGCCUGGUGUUUUGUUCCACCUUUGCCCCCUUAGUUUCCGACUACCGGUGUUCUGUUCCAUAAAUGAGCGCUCCUAACACGAUCGGGGUUGUUAUGGGGACCCCCUUGAUAAUUCGUUUUAGAUUAAGACUGGUCUGGCAAGGCCCAACUUUGGUACUACAUUUGCCUAAUAACCUAAUAAUAAUGCAUAGGGACCUGCCGGCACCCGAGGAUAAUUUAAUCAACCCCCGGGCCAGUGCUCCUCAUGAGUGUUGGUCCAAAACAGAGCAGCUUAUUAACGCUACCCGGGGCAACUCGGCGUUUGGCGUGGUAACCAUCGCUCAUNNNNNNNNNNNNNNNNNNNNNNNNNNNNNNNNNNNNNNNNNNNNNNNNNNNNNNNNNNNNNNNNNNNNNNNNNNNNNNNNNNNNNNNNNNNNNNNNNNNNUGUGUUCUACUCGUGCAUAGAAUCUACGCAUAGAAAACCUGGCUCUGAUACCACUGUUGGGUAACGUAGCAUAAAUUCAAAAUUUUCCUACGCAUAUUCAGAUCUUCCUAUGGAGAGACCAGCAACGAGAGAGGGGUAAGAGCAUCUUCAUACCUUUGAAGAUCGCUAAGCAGAAGCGUUGCUAGAACGUGGUUGAUGGAGUCGUACUCGCAACGAUUCCGAUCUAGUGCCGAACUACGGCACCUCCGCGUUCAACACACGUGCAGCCCGGUGACGUCUCCCACACCUUGAUCCAGCAAGGAGGAGGGAGAGGUUGGGGAAGAACUCCAGCAGCACGACAGCGUGGUGUCGAUGGAGAGACGAGGUCUCCCGGCAGGGCUUCGCCAAGCACCGGCAGAGAGGACCAGAAAGAAGAGCAGGGCUGCGCCGAGGGAGAGGGAAAAGUCUGUCUCUCAAUGGCCAAAAGUGCCCGAUAUAUAUAGGGGGAGGGGAGAGGGGGUGCCACCCCUAGGUUUCCCACCCUAGGGGGUGCGGCAGCCCCCCUAGAUGGGAGGUGCGGCGGCCAGAGGGGGGAGGUGGGGGUGGCGCACCAUCUGGUGGGCCUUAGGCACACCUGGCUUAGGGUUUGCCCCCCUUUUUCUCUCCCCUGCGCAUUGGGCUGAGUGGGGAGGCGCACCAGCCCACAUAGGGGGUGGUUCCACCCCCACUUGGCCCACGUUACCUUCCGGGGUCGUUGGCCCCCUUCGGUAGUCCCCCUGGGCCACCUCCGGUGGUCCCGGUACGUUACCGGUGAUGCCCGAAACACUUCCGGUGUCCGAAACCAUCCGUCCUAUAUAUNNNNNNNNNNNNNNNNNNNNNNNNNNNNNNNNNNNNNNNNNNNNNNNNNNNNNNNNNNNNNNNNNNNNNNNNNNNNNNNNNNNNNNNNNNNNNNNNNNNNCCCUCAAUGCAACCGGAAGGAGUUGCGUCAUAAUCACAUGACAGUCAUGAGACUUUAGGUUCUUGAAUUUUUCUCUAUCAUAUUUAUUAUUCCCUUUAUAUUCGAUGAGAAGCCAGACGGGACCUUGAUACUGAGAAGACAUUCAAAAAAGAUUUCCUUCUCUGCUUUGCUAAGAACGUACACUACAAGGAAUAUGCUAAUACACGACGCUAUUUUUCGUCGCUACAUCAUCACGGUUUUUAAUUAUGACGAUCUCACGACGAAAAACCAAGCGGCAAAAACGGAGCGUCACAAAUGAACAGCAGCGACGUUUUGAUCAAAACCGUCGUAACUUUUACGACGAUUCCUGGAUUGUCGUAACCUUUACGACGAUCCUAAAUCGUCGUUGGCAAUCAAACUCAGUCCUACGUGGCAAAAUUAUGACGAAAUCAAAACGUCAUGGUUGAAAUCAGCCCAACCCAUUUCAAUUGAUCACAUGGGCUGUUUUAUUUUGGGUUUUCUUAUUGGGCUUCUUUUGGGGCCUUAGCCUAUUUACAACCAUUUUAGUAUUUUAAUUUGGUUUGUGGCCUUUACUUUCUAUUGAUUUNNNNNNNNNNNNNNNNNNNNNNNNNNNNNNNNNNNNNNNNNNNNNNNNNNNNNNNNNNNNNNNNNNNNNNNNNNNNNNNNNNNNNNNNNNNNNNNNNNNNAAACAGUAUCAAGGUCCUGCCAACUACGUUCUUACCAAAGCAGAGAAGGAAAUCUUUUGAAUGUCUGCUCAGUAUCAAGGUCACUACAAGAAAUAUGCUCAUACAUGACGUUUUUAAGAUGUCGUUGAUGAAUUCGUCAUAAAUCUAUGACGAUUUCAUCCGAGAUUGUCGUAAGCCGUUUGAGGGGAUCAAAUCUACAUAUAAAUUACAACGACGUGAGUUAAAAACGUCAUCACAACAUAAGAUGAGAUCGUCAUAACUUUUAUGACAAUUAUAAAAAUGCCGUAACAUGUUCUAACUAUGUUGACAUGUCACUCGUGGGUCCAUUAUAAAAAUCUUUUGACAACAAACCAUUUGGUCAAUUGUAUAUUUAAUAAGACAUAAAAUUUUAGAAAAAUGAUUUGGUCCAAUUUUGCAAUAAAUAUUUGGUAGGUCCUUCACAAAAAACUCACUUUAGGCACUCGAAAAUAUAAAAUGGAUUUUCGUGCAAAAAUGAAAAGUCCNNNNNNNNNNNNNNNNNNNNNNNNNNNNNNNNNNNNNNNNNNNNNNNNNNNNNNNNNNNNNNNNNNNNNNNNNNNNNNNNNNNNNNNNNNNNNNNNNNNNAUCAGGCUCUAUGAUCUCAAUCUCCUGGCCUGGCAGAGUAUUUUUCUCAUGCAAAAUUGCAUAGUUGUACAAUCUGUAGCUGUUUUGCAACAUGCGUUGGUCAUCUUAAAACGAUGCUACCUGAUGCAUAUCAUGAUUUUCAGACCUUGGAUCAAUCUACUCUUUAGGUGUACUUCAGAUUCUUGUCUUAAUUUUUGUAUUUGAGAUGAAUCAGUGCUUUCAUGUUCCACUAAUUCUUAGCUGGUCGUUAGGGUCCGAACAUGUUUUUAGUUUAUACUUGGUGCCACUGGAAGCAGACAACCUACUUUUCUUGUAUAUGAACAAAUUUCUUGUAUAUUUUAACUAUUGCAGACAGUAGUCGAUGCAAUUUUAGCUUUUGAAGUCGACCUCGUCUGCACUUGAACAACCUACUAUUUUUGUAUAUGACAACCUGUAGUGUUAGUUCACACUUUUGUAAAUGCUGUUAUUUAAAUACCUAAAGUGUUAGUUCACAUCUUAUUCUUAUUUUGCACAGGAGAAGUACAAAGCCAAGUGUGAAGCUACGAAGCGUAUNNNNNNNNNNNNNNNNNNNNNNNNNNNNNNNNNNNNNNNNNNNNNNNNNNNNNNNNNNNNNNNNNNNNNNNNNNNNNNNNNNNNNNNNNNNNNNNNNNNNAUGUUCACUUUUUGUUCGAUUGAAUUGGCAUUGUUCGUUUCAUUUUAUAAAUGGGUUGGGCGUGCGCUCAACGGGAUGACCCAAAUCUCGCCCUCGAGACCAGUCAGCAUCCAUUUUAAUCACACUCCGUUUCGGAUUUGAACGUUAUUUCUGUUUCAUCAAAUGCAUUUCAAUAUAUGUAUUUUUAUCAAUUAUUCACUACGAAUAUAAGACCAAAGAAACAAGAACCAUAAUUAGACAUUUUAAAAGAUGUCCAACUUUCAUAACUGCUCCUACUAGUUGGAUUAAGAUCUUCUCUAUGUUUUGUUGUUGAUCUGUGGAUUCUUGAGCUUAACAACGACUUUCUUCUUUGAUACUAAAAAUUGGACGUUGCUUCCCAUUUGGUCUCUUCUUUAGUCUCAUCUAUACCUUUAAUUCUAGAAAAUUGCAUGAGCAUCUAGCAAAUUUCGUGAGAUCAAUAGGUCGAUGUAUUCUUCUUCCCAAUACCAAAAUUGUAUCCAUCCUACACAAAAUAUUCAGCAAAUAAUAAGCUAUCGAAAUUGCAUCGAAUCAUCAAAGAGAAAAAGGUCGAACGAAAAUCAUACCCCGUGUUUGUGCACUUCACGAACACCCAACCGGGAUGUUUCGGCGUCCAAGAAACGCGUCGGACGACGUGCAGUNNNNNNNNNNNNNNNNNNNNNNNNNNNNNNNNNNNNNNNNNNNNNNNNNNNNNNNNNNNNNNNNNNNNNNNNNNNNNNNNNNNNNNNNNNNNNNNNNNNNUCGGUGUUGCUUAAUCUGAAAUAUGACAACAAAGGGACAAAGCAUACAUGUUGUAUAUGUAUAUGUCCAUCCUWUUUACUUACCUUGUUUUUUGCACAUAUGAUACACGUAUACAUGAGUAACUUUACAUAUGUUAUGAAAUAUAAAGCCAAAAUAUUAUCACAAGAAGUAGAAGGUAUGAAAAUAUUGCAAAUCAGUUUGCACAUAUAAGUCAAGUCCUUAUUCAUAUCAAAAUAUUGACAAUUUUCAUCAUCAAACCAUUCUAACAUUGAUGAAUAUAAUUUCAUUGUUUCAAAUUUACAAACUAGAACAUGCUUAAAUAAACAAACAUGCAAAAGUCAUUUGACAUAGAAUCAUGACAAAUAUUAGAGGUCAUAUCAAAAUGAUUAAACAUUGACACAAUUAUUUUAAAUAUUUGACGCAAAUUUGAUUUAUUCUCUGAUUCACAUGGUUCUUGCUCAUCAACAGUUAAUUCAAUGGGUUCACUUAACAUUUUGAUAUUGUAGUUAUUUGAUCACAUGGCAUAGUAAAAUCAUGAAUAUAGUCCUCUAAAAUAUACGGUGUGACCAAAGUAAUGGGUAGCUCAUCACAUGNNNNNNNNNNNNNNNNNNNNNNNNNNNNNNNNNNNNNNNNNNNNNNNNNNNNNNNNNNNNNNNNNNNNNNNNNNNNNNNNNNNNNNNNNNNNNNNNNNNNUUUGUAGUCGGGCUAAACACAGCUCAUCUGGUAAUGUUUAUGAAGUACAAGACCUCAAAUCUGAAGUUAUUAUCUUACUAUGCAAAUUGACGGCAAAAUUAUUUGUUCAAUGAAUAGCUCAUUUGACCUAUCAAUUAUUACAGGACUAUAUUUUGUUCUCACAAAUUUCAUUUCAAUGCACAUAACAAAUGGAAGCAGAUUACAAUAACAUCCAUUGGAAUGAUAAUAUGCUAAUACCAUGUCUACUGCAUUGUUUUCUAAAAAAUAUGCAUGUAGACAGCACAAGUUCCCAAUUUCAGCCAGUGGGUUUAGCACAUGAAAAGCAACACUAUCGUACUCUACGGUAUGCACAUGAAAAGCAACACUAAAACCAAGUGUAACUUGUUAACACUGCUAUCUUAGGACACACCUUACAACAG